RNAcentral lists this long non-coding RNA (66990 nucleotides) under Eucalyptus grandis. RNAcentral describes it as "long non-coding RNA (EGRA_LNC005585)". Lineage: Eukaryota; Viridiplantae; Streptophyta; Magnoliopsida; Myrtales; Myrtaceae. The record is from RNAcentral.
AAUCUUCCACUGUAUGAUCGAUCAAGGAAGGUUCUGCAUUUAUAUUAACUUUCAUCAGAAUUUUUAUUGGCAUCAAUGUCAAUUCAUCCUUCUCCUCCUAAGCACCAAUCAUCAUUUAAAUACAAUCACAGAAGACACUAACAAAGCAAACCCAGUGGUCUUGCUGUGGGGAGCCGAAAGCAUGAAACACUACCAUUUCGUACUCGUACAUGGCGCCUGCCACGGCGCGUGGAGCUGGUACAAACUCAAGCAUCGGCUCGAGUCGGCCGGCCACCGCGUCACAGCGCUCGACCUCGCUGCUUCUGGCACCAACAGAAAGUCCAUACACGAUGUCCACACGUUCCGCGAGUACACCGAGCCUCUGCUGGAGCUCCUGGCCUCACUCGGGGCGCACGAGAGGGCAAUCCUCGUCGGCCACAGCUCGGGCGGCUUGAACUUGGCUCUCGCUGCCGACAGGUGCCCAGACAAGAUAUCGGUAGCUGUUUUCCUGGCGGCUUUCAUGCCAGACACCGCACAUAGGCCGUCAUACGUGCUGGAAGAGGUAAAUCUCUGCUGAACGCGCGUUAGAUUCUCAAAAUGAAGUCGUCUUUCUUGCUUUUGGUUGAAGUGGACCUUUUCCCUUUCGAUUUUGGAGAUUUUACUCUGUUUCAGUUGGAAUUCAUCUAAAUAAUCAACUCAUAUAUGUCUCUAACCCUACAUGCAUGAGCUCAUUUUUAAUGGCUUAUGUCCCUUGCGAUGGAAGUACUGCGCGAGGGCUCUGGAGGGAGCAUGGUUAGACACUUCUUUCACGUCCAUCGGAAAGCCUGACAAACCCUUGACGUCCAUCUUCUUCGGCCCCGACUUCUUGUCAUCCAAGCUCUACCAGUUGUCUCCUCUUGAGGUACGUUUUCACUUCCGUCCAUUGGCAUCAACGAAGCAUAUCUCCUCACGCUUUAAAUGGUUUGGCUUUAACUCAAUUUACUCCAAAAGCUUGAGAUGACAUUACCUUGAAUAGCAAACGACUACUGUAAAAACCACUUUUUCGUGUCCUUUUGUUGAGGGUAGCAAUUGAUGAACCUAGCCGGAUCUUUUAAUUGCAGUCUAAUCUUCUUUUUGAUAUGAUCUCGUCAUUUUGCGAGUUUUAUCCAUUUGAGAUUAGAAAUUAGGUAUGAACUCGUCCUAUAGGACUUGAGAUUGGUUAAGAAUUUUGUGGUUGGAAAAUCCAAUGCCCAUACUUGAUAUAUGUGUAACAAUUAAAAGGUCAUUUGUUUCCUUUAUAUAUCUUAGAUGAUUUAGUAAAUGCACAUAAUUAUUAUCUUCGUUAGAAUUCAUAACGGUUUUCUUGCAUUUUUUAAGUUGCCCUUACUCUGAUAAAACCCUCAAGCUCCCUCAUCCAUUUUAGGGGUUAGCAGCGGUCUAGGGUCGACCCUGGACUGACCCUGGACCGGCCCAACCCUGCCGGUCCUGGUCAGGUUCCCAAGGGGACUGGGUCGAUCCUUGGUCCUGAAAUUCCAGGACCAACACCGUGCGGGUUGGUCCUCGGUCCUAAGAGUUUUGGGUCAGUCCAACCCUAGACCAACCCUGUAUAUUAUAUUAUAUUAUAUUAUAUUAUAUUAUUUAUAAGUCUUUUAUAUAUUCAAACCUAAGUAAAAUGUCUAUUAUAUUAUAUUAUAUUGAGAUGUUCUAUCAAUAGCACUAAUAGUAAUUUCAAUUUAAAACUUUUGUUAAGUAUUAAUUAUGUGUCAUUUGUUUUGUUUUCAAGUGUUUAGAAGUUCAAGUGAAUUAACAAGAUGUGAAGUUAUAUAUUCAUGGUUUAUAUUAAGUAUUUUGAACUUUUUAUGAUUUAAUUGUAUUCUACUAAUGAAUUUCAGCUACACUUUACUUUUCAAUUUGUGUUAAAUGGUAUAAGUUUUUGAAGAGUAGAGUAGUACUGCAGUUGCUACGGUGAUUUGCUAGUCAAGUGGUGUGAAGCUCAUUUUUUGGUUGAGUGGACUCUAUAUGAUCAAAUGCUAGUCAAGUGGUGCGAAGCUCAUUUUUUGGUUGAGUGGACUCUACAUGAUCAGGAAAACGCUUUUGCAUAUGGUGUUAUAAAUAUUAAAGAUAAAUGAUUAUAAAGACUUUCCAUCUUGUCCCAUAUUUCGAUGAGCGGUUAGCAGAUACGGAAUUUCUAUUAUUGUGUCAUCUUAAAUUUGCUAAAUAGGUAUUGGUAUUUUAUAGUUUAGUUGCACAAUGCCGUAUUGUUGAUGGAUGUGUAAUUUGAAUUUGUAGGUUUGCUUUUUUAGGAAGUAUAAAAAAUAAGACGAAAAAAAUUAUCGAUCGGUCCUGGGUUGACCUUGGAAAUGGACCGAACCUAUUGGGUCGGUCCGGUCCUUGGUCCCAAGCUCAAUAGGGUUGGUCCUCGGUCCUAAAAAUUGAGGACCGACACUGUACGGGUUGGUCCUAGGGUUAGGGGGUGGCCCGGACCAACCCAGACCAUGCUCACCCCUAAUCCAUUUCUAGGCUAUAAAAGGGGGAUCGGGUUGCUUCACGAUAAAAUUCGAGAAUACUAAGACUAUUAGAAUGAUAACGACCAUUUCACACAUAACUUUUUAGUAAUAUUAGAACCUUAGAUUUUUAUGAUUGUCAAUUCUACAUUCUUUCAAUCGUCCAUAUGGUCCUUAUAGAAUCCUAAUUGAAGAUUUGCAAUUCAUAAGUUGUGAAGAUAUUUAACGAUAUGAUUUUUAGAAAGCGUUAUGGCGAGUUGCCAAUACCUUACAAUAACGUAACUACCUUAGUGAGGUGUGUUUAGGAUACUAUAUCAAGACCCUUAAUAAGCUUGGAACAUGUCUGAUAAAAAAAAUUAAGUUAAUGAGAUGGGUUGGGUCAAUAUUAACUAUUCCAUACCCAUCCUACUUCCGUCUCUAUUACAAACAUGACCACGGUAGAAGUGGAAAAAACCGAACACCCAAAAAGAAAGCCCAAAAUUUACAUUCCGAUGUGAAGAAAAUUUCAGCCUACGUGGUCCUUUUACAUUAUAUAUUCUGAAAUGAAGAACAUCGUAUGUUUGUAUAAAACACCAAUGCAUCACAUGUAAACUUGAUCGAUGGCCAGGCAUGGUUGGAUCUUCCCACGACCUAACGCGAUAUUUUGUGCCCAACUACACCUACACCUACACCUACGUGGGUGGGCCAAAGCAUAAAAAGGAAAUUGCUUGAUAGGCAGGUAUAAUUUGUGCUUAGAACAUUGUUAGCAUUUUUUCAUGGAAAUGUUACAUUUUCGAAGGAUCUGGAGCUUGGUAAGAUCUUGGUGAGGCCGGGUUCGUGGUUCUUGGAGGACCUGAGCACGUCAAGCAACUUCACCCGCGAAGGGUACGGGUCCACGACGCGGGUCUAUGUGGUGUGCAAACAAGAUCUGGGGAUACCCCUGGAGUUCCAAAGGUGGAUGAUCGCAAGCGGUGGGGCGCACCACGUCGUGGAGGUGGACGGGGCGGAUCACAUGGCCAUGCUCUCGAAGCCGCAGGAGAUCUGUGAUUGUCUGUUGGAGAUUGGGGCCAAAUACGAACGUGCCUAACAUUUGCAAUUUCGUUUGUCGGAUUCUUGAGUUUGGUUUGUAAUUCCUUUUUAGUUGUCGUGUCGAUACGACCAUCUUUUAUCGUUUCAAUUUGACAUGCAAGUGAUCCAAAUCCAGCAAUCCGACCCAACCAUUUCAAUUCCGAUGAAUGGAUUGUCUAGGAUUUUUAGCCUCAGCGCGUACUCGGCAGUCAAUUCGUUACGUGAACCGUCUGUGUAGAGUAGUGGACAAAAGGAAAAGGAAAAUGUGCGAACAUUUUCAUGAUGAUGGACGGAGGCUAUAUGGGCUUAGGUGGAAACUUUUUUUCACACUAGUUUCACGUCCAAAAAAGAUAUUCGUAAAUUUAUUAUCUACCUAAUGUUGAUUUUCAUUUUUAUUUCCUCAAGUAGCACAAGGUUUCACUAAUUGUGGGUUAGAUGAUAAAAGGACAUCGUCUAUUGUAAUCAUCAAUCCCUAUUUAUUGUGGUCCGUGAGACUUUUAUGGUUUUACUUCUUUCAACAGCAACGGUGCGGCGCACUGUCUAUGUUCAUGUGUGUUAGCAUACUGUUUUGUGUCAUUUGAGGCUUACUAUGUUUGACAAAAAAAAAAAAAAUGCACGAUUUACAAGAUAUUUUGCUAAAAAUAUCGUUUAUAUUAUUUAUAAAAAUAAAUAAGUGAUAAAUAUUUUCAUUAUCAUGAAAACGUUUACAAAUAAAUUAUUGUUGAUAAUGAAAAAUAAUUCAACAACCAAUUAAUUUAAGCUAUAUGAGUAAUCAUUUCUAGAAAAAUAUUUUUCAAACAAUUCAUUUUUCAUGAAAUAAAGAAAGUUCAAAACUUUGCGACAGAUUUUUUGUUCAUGGUUCAUUCCCUUUCAAAUUUACUUAACAGAGAAAAUAUAAAUUCAGCAGUUUGUUUAAAGCUCUUUAAAGCUUAUAACUGCCUUAAAAACAUGAACUCGGAUAGAUGCAAGCAACCGCUUAUCCGUGCAAUUUCUGCACCAAGGUCAAGCGGAGAGAAACCUGCAUACACGCUACAACCCUUGAAUUGACUUUGACAACAUUGUUAAUCCAUCAAUAAAUUAGGGAUGAUUCGAUAGAAAGGUAUCUUUCGCCCGGGUAUCCAGCAUCAGUCAAAAUUUUCGUGCCUCGAACUGUUGAAGCAAGAGCGGGGUCAGAUCUUCUGAACCUCAGGCUGUAAGUACUGUCGAUCCUAAAUGUAAAUGAACAUCUUCUUGUGCAGAUGAUUCGCCGCUUUCUUUUCAGGCGAUGCUUCUCCAAAUCCUGCAAUGCAAGAUCAUGUAAAAAUAAGUAUAUAUAUACACAGAAAGAGGGAGAAAGUAUGUGAAAUAUUUUAAUGGGGACGUACAUCUUCAGGCAAUGAAGGCGAGUUCAGCAAGUGGCCACUCGACAGGCGAAGAGAGGCUUUUCAGUGAUAGAGGGAGAAGGGAGUUCAGUCUCGUCUCGGCGGCUUCCUCCUUCGAUCCAUCUUGCAAGUGCUUUUUUUGGUACAUUAGUUUGAAAGAAAACUAUUCUCGGAAAUAUAAUUUCUGACUUUUUGGUGUUUGGAUGAUGGAAAAAUAAUUGAUUUACAGAAAAGAAAUUCCAUUAACUAAAAAAAAAAAAAAACUUAAAUUAGGAGAGAAGAACUUCUCUUCCGGCAAGAAUGAAACCACUUUUUCUAAGCCACCAAAUAAAUGAAAGAUAACCAUUUCCCUUUAAAAUGAUUUUCAUGAAAAUAUUUUCCUUUAUCAUGAAGUAUUCAGUGAAACAAAUGCACCGUUAAGGCUUCAUGCAUUUGUUACGUCGAAAAUAUAUGAUUUGUAAUAUAUUUUCAUAAAAAUGAUCAUUUGUAUUGCUAAAAAUAAUUAGUCAAUAAAAAUGAUUUCAUUAUUGUGGAUACUGAAAAUAUUUUUGUUUAUUUAUUUUUGUAAGGGAUAUAAACAACAAUUCUUAAGAAAAAAAUUUAGAUCAUUUAUUCACUGUGAAACAAAUACGUCGGCUCUAUUUGUUUUUGUUAAAAUGUUUUUCAAGGAAAGAUUUUCGGAUUUUCUGCUAUAUGACCCAACAAAAACAAAUGGUUCAAAGAAAAUAAUUUCCACCCAUAGAAAAAGGUCUUGUAAAAUUAAGGAAAAAGACUUUCGCUUUUUGAAAAACGGAAAUCACUUUCCCCACUCUCGUGUCAAGCAGUCCUUGUUCAUUUUGCUAAAUGUUUUGAUGGGUUUUUUUAUUUGAUGGGCCAAGUCAAGCAUAUCUGCCCAUGUUGGGCCAAACCCAGCCCAUAAGGGAAGGGGUCAGUUAUUUUUUAAAUGAAAAUAACUACUAUAUAAAUAUGAAAAAGGAGGAACAUCGAGAGAUAGAAUGAAAUAGUAUGUUCCUUUCCUUCCCAUGAGAUAACAGUGUACUCAUUUUUUUAAGAACAGAACUCCAAGGCAACGAGUACUUAAUUUAUGGCAAACAAGGUAUGUCUAUCUCUGUAAUAUAUUUUGCAAGUGGUGUUAUAUUUUUCCUGGGCACGACUCCGUGUUUUGUUUUCGAUAUUCGAUCAUUCAAUUAUCGAUUUCUUUUUUUAGGAAUCUAUUUCCCACAUUAGCAUUAGAAGGAUGUUGUUCAUACUUCCCGAUCAUUGUUGACGUUUAUAAUUUGUUUUUGGCCAAAAUUUUGAGAAAUGUUGCCUUCGAACACUCGAGGACGGAAAUCACAACACCCACAUACUAUUCACCCCUCCUUUUUUUAUUUUACGUGGGUCAAAACUCAUUUUUGAAAGUGCAAGGUCUUAGUUCUCAUCAAGACGAGAAAAACGAUAGGUGGCUUGCUACCAGGGGUUGCUAGACACCCCACCACGGUUGACCGAAAGUUUCUGGCUCGUUGGCGCAUGCGAUGCACGAGUCAAGGAAGUUUCCCCAAGCGCGUGUGCUACAAAUGUGUGUGGCAACCGCAAGUGCGUGCACGGUAUGCAUGCAGUAACCACACCCAUGUGCAUGGCACGCAUGCAAUAAUUGCCCCACACUUAAGCCACAUGCGCCUACUAACGUCAUCAUGACGUCAGCCAACUAUUGCCCGCGCAUGUGCGGGACAUGUACUAAUGACGUCAUCUAGUUGAGUCAGUUAGUUUGACCCAAUCCGCCUGACCCAACUCGAUCAUCCGUUGGCUGGCAUCAAUCGUUGAUUGGCAUUAACCUGCGUUGACCGACAUUGACCAUUGACCGUUUAACCACAAAAAAAAAAAAAUUGUGUUUCUUUUUCAAUUAUGUCCCUAUGGUUAUAAGUAAUCCUUUUUUUGUUUUGCAUUUGUUGCAGGAACAAUGCCUCCCAUUUGUAUGCAUACACUUAUUUGCGUAUAGUCAAAAAGAUAAAAAGCAAGACUUGAAAGGAUAAUAGUUGAGUUGGCUAAUUAUCAAUGGAAAAGUGGAGAUAUAAUUGAACAUAUUCUCAAGUUUAAUAAGAAGAUAUAACAAGUUAUUUGGAAGGGUUAUUUCAUGCAAGCUUUUGAGAUUGUGCGGCUCUUGAAUAACACUCUUUCAUCUGAAUAAUAAGGAGUGUUGAAUUGCCUAUGGGAGGUCAACGUGGUUCAUGAUUAUAAGAAGCUUGUAGUGGCUUUUUUGAAGAAUUAUUAUAGAUUUGAAGCAACAAAGACUUCAACCCAAGGAAUGAGUUCAACCCAACAGGGAUGAAUGUGCGAGCGAGAAAUCCUAAGGGAUUUCCGUCUACUUUUCUAUGGUUGCCAAAUGUACUUAUAAAAUUUUCAAAGAAAAUUACUAAGAAAUUAAAAAAAUCUUUCCUUGUUCAUCGAUUAACUUGGCAUUAGUUGUUUUCAUUUGUGUUUACUUAGUAUGCUUUAUGGAUAUCUUAUGUAAAUAAUUCCUACCAUAUUAAUGUUGUCGUAGCCAUUGAUGUAUUGGUUACAUUAUGUGGAAAUAUUUUUUUAUCAUUAAUGGAUAUUCAAUGUCAAUUGCUUUUGUUAUUAUUAAUUGUUGUGGGUAGUUUAUAGAAGUGUUUUUAGCUUCAAAAAACUUAUUUUGCAUAGAAGAUUAUAUUAAUGACAAUUUCAAUUUUGGAUUUUGGAUGAUAAUUGGAAACAAUAGUGACAUUUUGAUUCUAAAAUCUUAUUUGAAAUUAUCUAUUAUAUGAUGAGUUUAUGCAAAAUAGAGAGGUUGGGACACUUGGAGUGCCAUAACUUGGCAGGGAGGGACACUUAAGUGCCAUAAAUUUAAAAUUAUACACUUAAGUGCCAAUAUCGGAGUAAAAUGGGACAUUUAAGUGCCACUCCGGCAAAAAUCCGGCCAAAUGGUUUACGUUGCCAUUUUCCGGCGAGUUUGGUCCAAAACAGCGUCGUUUUGCACGCUGACAUGACGAAGAAAAUGCAAAAACAACGCCGUUUCGUGUCUACGUGUAAAUAAUAAUAUAAAAUUAAUUAAAUUAGAUUUAAAAUUAAUUUUAUUUAAAAUAUUAAAAAAAUUAAAAAAAUUAAGAAAAAAUUUAAAAUUUAAAAUUUUUUAAAAAUUAAGAAAAUUUAAAAGAAGGGGGGGGGGGUUGAAUGAUGCGGCUGAUGGCCGAUCCCGCACUGCCUCCGCCACCCCCCCUUCCGUGGGAAAAGUUCGCGUGGAUGGGGGUCAGGACCCCCAGAUUUCUCAGCUAUCAAUAGGCCGCUACCCCGCGGGUGAGAAAGGUGGAUGGACACAUACGGCCAUUGAGAGUAAAACGUGUAUGGGGCUUGCGAUUGAUAGACACGGGAGAGACGAUAAAUCGUGACUUUUCAUGGCCAGCUCCUGACCAUUACCUACUCCGAUGCUUCUGCCGCGUUGCUAUUGACUUCCCCUUAGGUGUCNNNNNNNNNNNNNNNNNNNNNNNNNNNNNNNNNNNNNNNNNNNNNNNNNNNNNNNNNNNNNNNNNNNNNNNNNNNNNNNNNNNNNNNNNNNNNNNNNNNNNNNNNNNNNNNNNNNNNNNNNNNNNNNNNNNNNNNNNNNNNNNNNNNNNNNNNNNNNNNNNNNNNNNNNNNNNNNNNNNNNNNNNNNNNNNNNNNNNNNNNNNNNNNNNNNNNNNNNNNNNNNNNNNNNNNNNNNNNNNNNNNNNNNNNNNNNNNNNNNNNNNNNNNNNNNNNNNNNNNNNNNNNNNNNNNNNNNNNNNNNNNNNNNNNNNNNNNNNNNNNNNNNNNNNNNNNNNNNNNNNNNNNNNNNNNNNNNNNNNNNNNNNNNNNNNNNNNNNNNNNNNNNNNNNNNNNNNNNNNNNNNNNNNNNNNNNNNNNNNNNNNNNNNNNNNNNNNNNNNNNNNNNNNNNNNNNNNNNNNNNNNNNNNNNNNNNNNNNNNNNNNNNNNNNNNNNNNNNNNNNNNNNNNNNNNNNNNNNNNNNNNNNNNNNNNNNNNNNNNNNNNNNNNNNNNNNNNNNNNNNNNNNNNNNNNNNNNNNNNNNNNNNNNNNNNNNNNNNNNNNNNNNNNNNNNNNNNNNNNNNNNNNNNNNNNNNNNNNNNNNNNNNNNNNNNNNNNNNNNNNNNNNNNNNNNNNNNNNNNNNNNNNNNNNNNNNNNNNNNNNNNNNNNNNNNNNNNNNNNNNNNNNNNNNNNNNNNNNNNNNNNNNNNNNNNNNNNNNNNNNNNNNNNNNNNNNNNNNNNNNNNNNNNNNNNNNNNNNNNNNNNNNNNNNNNNNNNNNNNNNNNNNNNNNNNNNNNNNNNNNNNNNNNNNNNNNNNNNNNNNNNNNNNNNNNNNNNNNNNNNNNNNNNNNNNNNNNNNNNNNNNNNNNNNNNNNNNNNNNNNNNNNNNNNNNNNNNNNNNNNNNNNNNNNNNNNNNNNNNNNNNNNNGAGGGACUAUUGUGAUAAUUAUGGCAGCUGCUGGGCCAUAUGGGACCUGAUAUGAUUCGACUGUUGGAGCUCUCACGGCAUCAAGGGGGGACAGUGAGAGCCGAUGCGAUCCCCCUGGCUGGGACCGGGCAACCCCUGCCCCGUCCCGGCAACGGCGGGGGAGGGUGGCAACAGUGAGGGCUCAGCCCUCAGCCGCCCCAUUCGACCCCCCCCCUUUUUUUUCAAAAAAAAAAAAUCUUAAUUUUUUAAAAUUUUUAAAAUUUCCUUAAUUUUUUAAAAUUUUCUUAAUUUUUUUAAUUUUUUGAAUAUUUUAAAUAAAAUUAAUUUUAAAUCUAAUUUAAUUAAUUUUUAUAUUAUUAUUUACACGUAGACACGAAACGACAUCGUUUUUGCAUUUUCUCCGCCACGUCAGCGUGCAAAAUGACGCCAUUUUGGACCAAACUCGCCGGAAAGUCACCACGUCAGCCAUUUGGCCGGAUUUUCACUGGAGUGGCACUUAAAUGUCCCUUCGUGCCAAGUUACGGCACUUGGGCUGUUCUUUUGCCCAAAAUAGAUGCAUAAAUAAUAUACAUUAAUAAUUUAUGCAUGUAUGUCUAAUAUGUUCAGAUCUAAUGGCUUCAGUAACUAAGAGUAUAGUCGUUGAAUAAUACAAAAGUGAGAAGUUGAACGGCAAUAAUUAUGAAAUAUGGUAUAUGAAAAUCUAAUGUGUGCUGGAAGAACAAGAGACACUAAAACUCUUAACCUGAUUAUAGAAGAACAUUGCACAACAUAAAAAAUAUAAGAAUGCAUUUGAUGCAUGGAAAAGAAAUAACUCCAUUGCUCGCAUUACGUUCCUGAGUAGCAUGAAAAAUGGUGUCAUGCGAGAGUUAAGGUGUUUUAAGAAUGCGAAAUAAAUUUAAGAAGCAUUGGUAACAAGAUUUGGUCAUACAACAGUGACCAAAUUGAGAUAGCUCACUCUAAGGUUUGACUCUUACAAUAAACCUUAUGGUCAGAUCAUAAAACAACACCUGAGAAAAAUGUCAAAUAUGAUUAAUGAGCUUAAUGAUGUUGACCAUGUUCUAACUGACAAGAAGUAAGUGUAAGCAAUGAUCUGUUCAUUGCCUUAAAGUUGGGAGUAUAUAAAGGUGCACCUGAUACACAAUAAGAACAUUGAAACCCCUUGAGGAUGCAGUGCGCCACCUUAAGCUAGAAGAGGACCACCUCUUGGUGGCUAAGUUGGAAACUAACAUUCACUAUGCUGGUUCUAACUCAUAAGGAGCUUCGAGCUCUAAACACAAAUGUUUUGAUUUGUUCAAAAUGUGGAAAGAUAAGGGAGUGAGCUCUUCGGGGAAGAAACCAAGAGUUGAUCAACAUGAGAGAGAAAAGCGUCAUCAAGUGAAGAAUUUGUCAAGGGUGAAGUUUUAUAACUAUGGCAAAAAAGGUCACUCUGCUAGCGAUUGUCAUGAGCCAAAGAAGGAAACACCCCUUGUAUUCUUGAUAACUUUACUUACAUAUCAAGUUUUGUAUUCUUAACUGAAUUUAAUCUUUUAUAAACUAUAAAUUUGAGAGCAACAAAUCAUGUAAAGAAGGAUAGAUAAUCUUUUGUAGAAUUCUGAUGAUUACUGAUUGGAACGAAAUGGAUUUAUAUAGGAAACAACUUUAGAACUGAAGUAAAAGAGAUGGGCACCUGCUAAUUAAAUAUGCAUAGUAUACACACUUUGUUCGAACAUGAUGUAUUAUAUGCUCCAGAAAUUCGUUGAAAUUUAAUAUAUGUGUUAGUGUAGAUUUAUAUUUAUACAUAAACUACUAUGGUAAUGGUUAUUUUCUAGAUAGUUUUAUUGUAUUGGAUGUUGACUAUGGUAAUGUCAAUAUUUGUUAGUUCUUAUUCACGUCUUCUAAUUCAUAUGAUAAUGAUAUGAAUGUAUGGCAUGCUAGACUUGAUCAUAUUAGCCAACAACACAUGAAUAGACUAGCUAAAGAGGGCUUGUUAGACAACAUUAAAAAAGUCGAUUUGUCCAUCUAUGAGCAUUACCUAGUAGGGAAAAGAACAAAGAAACCAUUUGAAAAAUGUAAAAUAGCUGAAUUUCUUUCGUAAUUAAUCUAUUUAGACAUUUAUAAUCCAAUGAAUGUGAGGGAAAAGCACGAGCCUAUUUGUUUCAUCACAUUUAUAGAUGAUUAUAUUGGAUUCAGAUAUAUCCAUUUGAUUUCUCUUAAAUCUCAAGCAUUUAGUUGUUUCAAGAAGUUUAUGAACUUAGUAGAAAAUCAACUAGAUAACAAAAAAAAAAAAAGCAUUUAGAUCCAACCGAGGACAAUAAUAUCUAUCUGAUGAGUUCAAAAAAUUAAAUGAUAAAAAAGAAAUAGAAAGAUGGUUGUUUAUUCUCUAAACUCCUCAACAAAAUGGUGUUGCAAAAAUGAGAAAUAAAACUCUACUAGAAAUUGUUAGAUCCAUGAUAGCACAUACUAACUUGUCUAUCACCUUUUGAGUUGAUGCUUUAUUAAUUCAUUUUAUAUACUUAAUCAUGUGUCUUUCAAAUCAAUUACUUACACUCCAUGGAGUUAUGGACAGAUAGAAAACUAGACUUAAGUUUUCUUAAACCGUGGAAUUGUGCUACCUAUAUUAUCAUGAACCUUCUCACAAGUAUGGGAAAUUGGAUCCCAUAGAUAAGAAGCGUAUUUUCAUAAGAUACUUAGAACACUUUAAAUGGUAUGUAUUUAUAGGUGAACGGAAAAGUGGGAGUAUAACUAAAUUUUAAUCACGACGUGUGUCACACUCCUGCCCCACCUCUGGUACGAGAGUGUGACCCAGAGGGUCAACAUCGACGUCCCAUGCAUGAAUCAUCCUAAAAAUAUUUUAUCUUUGAUUAAGCAUAUACAUACGCGAAUUAAAAACAAUUCCCAUACACAAACAAACAUGGAAGUCGGGCAACAUGUAUACAAGCUAAGCAAACAAAAGCAACAUAUAUUCAUACAUAUAUACACUUACCAAAGUUAUUAUGAUUACAUGUCCAUCUUAGUCUUGGGCUACUUAUCUUUAUUACCACACAUCGACGAUUGAAAGGCCGGGGUAGCCUAGCUCCUCUAUUGAGCUCCUCCAAAAAUGACCCCCAUCCUAGGCCCUCUUCUACAAUGCUCUCGUAGGAUCCAAUAGAAGGAUGAGGCCACGAUGGGACCUAAAACGUCCCCAUAAAAAAAUGAGGCACCAAGCCUCAUACACAUGGAGAAUCAAUGUGUUUACCCAUUCUCGAACUCAUAUAGUGGUAAUAUACUUCCGGUAGGUGACAUCCUGUUCUAAAUCUAUUAUAUUCAUCACAGUAGUAACCAUAUCAAUCAGAAGACCGGGACAGACCGACAGUAGGGUUGAUUCACCCAUCCCACACCUAAAAUGGUGAAAACAACAAAAGUGAGUCGUUGACUCAGUAAGUAGAAAUCCCUAAUUCUCCUAUAGGAGGAUGUCUCACCAUCAAUCCUCGGAUACAAGAUCACUACCCACUUGUCGAUGGUAAAUCAAUAGCAAGGUUCGUGCUUUGCCUUAAUUAUGCAUAUGAAGGGCUUUCAAUCAGCUAUGUAUUUUCAAGCAUCAAAGACAGGAAGUUAGUGCAUAAAAACAAGCCUUCCAAAUAUCUCUGGCUUAUGAUCAUUCCAGUCACUAAGAGGGAUGCGUGCAUUACAUAAAACUCAUUCAAGCACUAAGUGACCCGAUGCAAACAUAUGCUUGAAUUGAUGCAAUGACUCAACAAUACAUAUCAAACAAAUCUAGUUUUUGCAAGCCUCAAUUCUGGUAUCACUGCAAGCAUCAAUUCAAGCAUCACACAUGCAUUAGUCAUGGACCAUAUGUGGACUUCUAGUUUCUUUCAGUCUGCUCAGUUAGUCGAAAUCCAUCGACUCUUCCGAUAUCAAUCGGGCAUGUGUCCCUUGCUUGAUAAACGUCAUCAUCCCGAUCUCAUUAUCAAGACGGCAUCCAAGGCGACCCCUAGCCAUUGGCCUCACUUGGGCCGGCAUCAUCCACGAUCUCAAUAUUGGGACAACAUCUGAGGCUUUACCCCAAGCAACAACCCGACAUACCCCAGCGUCAGCGAUAAAAGUCCAUUGUGUGUCCAUGCGUUCAAGUAUCAAUCAAUCCAUUUUGUUAUCUUGAAUCAUUAGCCAAAUGAAAGGCCCAAAGGCGUGCCAUACAAACUGAAUCAAUGACUUUUGUGCUCUAUUACUAGACUCAUGCUAGACGCAAUUCCAGCUCAUGAUCUUGACUCGGAAUCAUUCGCUUUGGCUUCGGUAUCGACCGUGACUUGUCUCGAGUAACAACAUGUUUCAAUGUGGUCUCGAAAUCAAGUGUGGGUUGUGCAUGCACCUCGGCACACGUCCAAAGUCACAUGAGACAUUUCCUUGACAUCCGAGCGUGCUUGACAUCCAUGCAAGAACAUGAAUUUACUCGAUGCAACAACAAACAAAUAGAAACACAACAAGCAUCACCAUAUAAAGCCAACACAAGAAAAUGAUGACAUGAUCCUAAAAUCGAUAUGCAUAGUACAUCGCCUUAUCAAAGAGUUAGGAAAGUCUACUUACAACUUUUGAACCUAGCUCCAUGAUGCUCCUUUGGUGACUGGACGGCUCCCAAGACAGUUUGGUGAGGAAGGCAUGAAAGAGAAGAGAGAAAGGGAGAGGAAAUGAGAGAAUGACUUAUCCUUAAAGUGUGAGGAUACAUUCUCCUAUUUAUAGGUCUCGUCCUUUUAGUUUUUUAUGCAAACUCAUGAUGAUGCCUAAAUGACGAGUUGGCCUACCUAUCUUCUUGAGUUGGCACCUAGGUCCUUUGGUGUUAGCUUGUGAUUGGUUCACCUAUUUACUUGCUCUCCAAGGCUCACUUUAGGUUCGUUAUUCCCGAUGGCGCCUAAGGGACACAUAAGUCUUUUGAUGCAUCAUGUCCUCUUCUAAUUGGCUAGUUCUUGACUUGUUCACCAAGGCUAUAAUCUAGGGCCAUCAUACCCAAAGAUUUACCUAAGAUUCUAGAGGACACAUAAGUAAUUGAUUCAUCCAUGCUAUUAAUAAACUAAAGUCCAAAAUCAUUAAAUGAGGCCUAGAUAUUUUUAUAAACCUACUUGAGAAGCAAGUUUUCUCCCCCCCCCCCCCCCCAAUUGACAUGUGGCAUAUAAUGGAUAAGGAUAGACUAUAGUCAAAGGUUAUAGAAGAUUCUAGAACCUCAAUUACCUCUUGACACUUGUCCAAUAAUUUAUCUCCACAUUAAUUGAUUUGUGUUAAAAUAUCAUCCAAGGCAAUCAUGAGAGUAACAUAGGGUGUUGCCUAAUUGAUGAAGUCAUUCAAAUUUGUACGCAAUCAACAGUUCUAUGAGAAUCGAGGUUCAUGCCAAAAUUUACUAAACUUUAACCAAAUGAGUGUGACUAAGUCAAUAGCCUUCUUAAAUUUACCCAUGACUAUUUUCAAUUAGAAUUGGUUCAUUUGAUGUCUUAAAAUAAACAUCGUGAUUGGUCUUGGUUAUUUACCCUCCCCGGGUCUCCAUUAAGUGGACUAGGUCCAUGGUCAAACAUGUCAUGCCUUGAUCCAUCUAAGUUUUAUGUCAUUGAUUCCCAUGAUCGACCUUUCUACCUUAUUCUUAUGGUCUGGAAUCGAGGAUGUUGCAAGUUGUCACAUUCUUAGAGAUUAAAUUUCCUAAAAGUGGCAAAAUAGGUUAUGACUACUUCCUAUUUGAAACCUUGGAUCAAAAUAAUUAAUUUAAUAGAGUUCAUCCAAGUAAGAGUAAUAUGAAAAGUGAUGAAUUAAAUUUGACUUAUUCUCGAUUACAACUGUGACAUUCUAGAUUUCCAGUCAUGUUUUCUACUGAAUAAAUCAGACAUUUCAUUGACGCGUCUACAUGACUGUUCUCAAAACUGAUCAUUCUAAAGAUAACUAGACUAUUUGGGGAAACCAUUAAGAAUUUUAAGGCAAAUAAACUUGAGAAUUCGACCAAGAAUCGGCUACUCGACCGUUCUCAUCUUUAGAGGUCAUUCUGGCACAGAUAUAAAUCAAUUUGAGAUUAGAGAUAGGUUGGUUCGACUGAGAUGUGUAGCUAAUCAUGAGUGACACUACUAAAUUGGAAAAUUCUCGUCGACCGGCACUAGACUGAUUUUAUUAUUGUUUUGAUACCCUGUGUUCAUAUUUGAAUCCUCGAGAUUUUCACGACAAUCGAAAGUCGCCAAUGAGUCGAGUGGAUUCAUAGUGGCUUGAAGAAAAUCGACCACGAGUCAUUUGCACUAAAAAAUUUAUGAGAGUUACUCGAUAGCGCAGGUCACACUAAAAACGCGUCGCAUGGAAAUUAACCAUAAAUUCGAGUCCGAUUCCAGAAAUUGAAGAUUCUGUCAUAUCACAAUAAAUUAUAGAAACGCCGACUCAAUCUCAGAAGAUUUUUCAGAGAUUUUGAGAUUUUUACGGAAAAUCGUACGGACGUCGCGGAAAAUUAACGGAAAUUCGUAUGGGCCAAAUUUAAGCGAGUUUUGACUUUCAAUCCGAGCCUUUGAGUGUAAGGGAAUUAUAGAAAAUUGUUCGGGAUUUUUCUUCAUCGAAAUUGAACCUCAAUUUGGGAAAAUGAGUGAGGAAAUUGAUCCUAAAAUUGGGAAAGUCGGAGUUAUGGUUGAGGGCUACAAAUUUUGGCUUCAAAGUUGAUUAAUGGUGGAAUUAUUCUUCUAAAAAGAAUUAGGGGACAAGAGGGAUUAGAUUGAGAGCUUGUGGGACCAAGUCAUUCAAUGUAUUGGCUAUGGAUUGAGACUUUUGUUCCCUCACAGCUGGCUUCUCCCUCACGCACGGCUCCCCCUCCAUCUUCCUCCUCACGCGAGCAAUUUCCCUUUUAUUUUGCUUUCAUUUCUCCCACCGAACUUGCUGCCUUUUUCUCUUUGAUUUUCCUUUCUGUUUUGGCCAUCGUUUUUCUUUCUCUGUGAACAGCCCACACCGCACCGAGAAUUCUCCUUUGCUUGGCCACGCGUCCACGAGCUGCCCAUCCUUGGUCAACUAAAGAAGUUCUUCACCACCAAUGUUGACCUCUCCAUUCACCGAAGCUCUGCCCAUCCACCGAAGUUGCUCAUGCCAUCAUCAUCAUCAUCAUCCCAUCUCUAUUCUCCUCUUCACCGUUUGCCACCCCCACGCCAACACACCACCAACGAACUCAUCCCAUCUUCUCCAAUAUUAUUUGUCUCUUUGGUCAACAUGCAAAUUCACCGAGGCUUUUGUUGACCGAAGCUCACGUGGCCUCACGCUAGCAAACCACCGAAGCAUCGCCCGCGCACUUCCCAACUCUUGCUGAAGCCGCGCUAGCCCACUUCUCGGUCAGCUCCAGCAGCAGCAACGACGCCGCAUGGUCUUCUCCAGCUCACGUGAUUUCAGUCUCCUUCGACCGAAGCGGCAGUCUUCACGUUGUGGCCCUUUCGUCUCAGCCCAACAAUUGGGCGCUUGAGGCCGUGAGCUUCACCAGCAGAAAGCCCACAAAUUUUACUUGAAGUCAGGCCCAUAUCUACAGCAUUUCGGCCCAGCAUUUCCAUCAAGUUCAGCCCAUUUGAAGCUCAGCCCAUUCUUGAAGCCCAAAAGUCCAGCAGAGUUUCAGCCCGUGAAGCCCAGCAGUCUUCAGCCCAUCUUCAGCAGGCCCAACUCAACUUGGGUCCAGCCCAAAAUCAAGAACAAAUCUCAGUUGGGCUGAGAUUUGUUGGGCCAAGUUUAGGCCCGGUCCAAGCUCGUGGGUGUAAUCGGAGCCCAAAUUCGGCCGCCGUCGCGUCGUCGUCAUAGUGAUCCACUCUUCGCAAAUCAAGUGAGUUUUACUCACUAAUGCUUUCUUAAUUUGCUAAUUAUGCUUAAGGGUUAGGUUAGAUUUAAUUAAGUUCAAUUAGGUGGUUAGAUUAGUUUUGAACAAUUAAAUUAGUGACUUAAUGAUGCAUGUUAGGUGGUUAGACAUAGUCAUUAGCAAGUAGAAAGCUACUAAUAUUUAUGGAAUGUAUCUCGGGAUUUUUCCCAACCUGUUUCGGGCUUCAAUCAAGCAUUACGGGACUAAAUUGGAUUUUUUGUAUUUAGUUGUUAAUGUUUGAAAUUAAUUUAAUUAAUUCUUUAUUUAUUCGGAAAUUAGGCAGAGAUAGCCAACGGCCAAAAUUUUGUGUUGAUUGUCGUGGUGCAGUUCAUUUAUUUAAUUGAGCUCUAUUUCAUGCUAAGCUGAAUUAUUUGUAAAAGUGGAAAUUAUUCUUUAAUUGGAUAAUCAUUGGUUAUUAAUUGAAAAAUAACCAGGUGUCGGUUGACAGUACCAAAACUGUAUUGGUGGGCUACAGAAAUGGUGGGAUUUAUAGAAAGGAAAUCAUCAUAUUUUGGCUAAAGCCGACCGUGUACCCACACACGACAUUUUAUCGGAAGGGAUAAUAAUGGUUAUUAGAUUGUUUGCUUGGAAUGGCAUAUAUAUUGGCUCGAUGACUCUACGGAGCAUCUUGAGACAGGACGGUAUGAUCUACCGGCUCGGUGAGUCUACAGGUUAUCUUGAGAUAGUACGGUAUGAUAAACCGACUCGAUAAUUCUACUGAUCAUUUUGAGAUAGUACUGUAUGAUCAAUUGUGUGUAUACCGGCUUAGUGACUCUAUAUGUCAUCUUGAGAUAGUAUGGUAUGAUCUACUGACUCGGUGACUCUACAGAUUAUCUUGAGACAGUACAAUAUGACUUGGAUGUUGAUCAGACUUAUAGACAGUAUGGAAUGGGCCGACCAAGAAAUGGUCGUGAUGACAUGUAAUCGACUAGGUCGAUUGAUUGAGACAUCGAUAUGUGAUGUGAUUGCUUGGGUGCCUAUUGAAUUGUGCUAAUAUGCAGGUGGAAUCUAAGGCUAAGGUAAGUCCUCUGACCUGUGCUUGCAUAGGCAACCCGGACAACAUAUUAGUUUACUAAUCGCGUCUUAGGGGGUAGAACUUGUUGAGACGUAGUCUCAUCCCGAUUAUGGGACAACAUUUCAAGAUCCUGAUGAGGAGCUUGAGGAGAAAGAACCCGAAGAGGAGUACCUGGAGGAGAACCUCGAUAAUGAUCCCGAGUACGACCAGGAUGAGGACUGAGAUCCCACCCUCUUUUGCGAACGCUGCUUAGAGGUGGUUGAGUGUGAGACUAGACCUUUGUUAAUAGUAUGGUAAAAUACUUUGAGGUGUGGUUGUAUAAAAGUUUGGUUGUGAAUUUCUAUAUGAAAAAUAUGGCCCUACUUUUCUAUCACAUUUCUUUAUUGUCUGGGGAUUAUAAUUGCUUCCACAUGUGCAUAUUAAAAAGAAAAGGGUCGGCGAUGCGUCCUGGGAUAUCAUAUUUAAAAUCGACCAAAGAUGAAGGGUGGGCACGUGACCGAGGAUCGGGGCAUGACAACAACCACCUACUGAGAUGAUAUUAUCAUUAUCUAAUUUGAGUGUGAGCAUAAUGGACAAUAAUGUGCAAGGUAUACAAUCUCCAUACGACGAACAAGUUGCAAAAGUAUUUCUCGUCGACGUUUUGACAUUAAAGGAGAAACUUUUAUGGUUGCUCUACAGGAUGAAGUUGAGCCAAUGAAUGUAAAUGAUACUCUAAAUUACCUUAACAAGGAAAAAUGGAUGCAUGCAAUGGAAGAGGAAAUGGAAUCAAUGAAGUCAAACUAAGUUUGGGAAAUGGUUGAUCUUCCAAAAGGAGGCGAAGCCAUUGGGAAGAAGUGGGUUCUCAAAAUAAAGCGUAAAGCCGAUGGCUCGAUAGAGAGACACGAGGCUCGUAUUAUGGUAAAAAGGAUAUAAUCAACAAUAAUGAAUUGAUUAUGAGGAAAUGUUUUCUCUUAUAAUGAGAUUUAUCUCAAUUCAUUUUAUUAUGACAAUCAUAGCUAAUAUGGAUCUUGAACUACAUUAAAUGGAUAUAAAGACUGUUUUUCUCAAUGGAGAAUUAAAAGAAGAAAUUUAUAUGGAACAAUUCAUUGAUUUCAUUUUGAAAAGCCAAUAACAAAAGGUAUGUCGACUUUUGAGAUCAAUAUAUGACCUUAAGCAGUCAUCGAGACAAUAUUAUAUAACUUUUCAUUAUACCAUAAUGGUAUAUGAUUUUACAAUGAUUGAUGAAGAUUAUUGUGUGUGUGUGUGUGUGUGUGUGUGUGUGUGUGUGCAUAUUAAAAGAUGUAAAGAUCAAUUUGUGAUCAUAUCAUUAUAUGUUAAUGAUAUACUGAUUGAUGAGGACAGUGGUGGACGGAUUUGGAUCUGGAAUCAAACUUUAGAGAACUGAUGGACAUGAAACUUCGGCAAAUCACUUGAUGAUCGACUUGGGGACUAGGGACGAUGACUGAACGACAAUGGGGGCGUCCUCUCUCCUCUACUGUCUAGAAGAGAAGCGCGCUAUGGUGGCUACCAUGCUCUGAUACCAUGUUGGAAGAGAGUAUUCUACGUAUUGUAUUCUCUUAAUCAAAAAAGGAUUACAAGAAUACAUACAAUAUAUAUGAGUUACCCUCUCAACAUAAGAUUAAGUAUUGACUAUUUUACCCUUAUUAUUAUUUCCUAAUGGGAUGUACAUGUGAGUAAGUUGUUUUAUAGAAAUUGCACAUUGGAGAAUUGAUGUGAGGUAGGGCAAUUAAUAUAUCCUAGUUAGUUCAUAGCUCAUUGACUUAAUUUUUUUUUAAUGAAGGUGAGUUCAACUGAUUAUAUUGACCAGCAAGGAUUCGGGCUCCCUCUUGAUAAUCUCCUCAGGUGAAGAUAUCAGACUUCUACUACAUGCUCCCAACAAUCCGCGCUAAGCCCAACACCUUUCACUGUCACGCUUGUCAAGCUGAGACCCUCCCUGUCACCAAGACACCAGCUGACACUGACCCCACAUGGCUAAGAUCACAAUGACCUUGCCUCUUCUCAUUGAGAUCUGUACUUUUAGCCCAUGGUCAGCUCCUUCCAAUAGUGAGCCACAAAGAAGCUUGCUCUAAUGACAUAGCCAUUGUUCGAGAUCUCCAUUGUCCAGGUUUUCUCAAUAUACCAAUAAACCUACAGUUUCAAGCAUAGUAGAGAAGGACCUAUGAACGAAGAAAGGAUCUUGUCACCUUGGCACACUAAAAGAGGAGGAGAUGCAAGAACACUCUCAUACAUACUAAGAGUUCUUCAAUACAUAUUACAUAGAGAGUGGCCGGAACAAGAGACAAGCACUUUCGCGAAAGGUCCUCAAUCGAGAGAACGGCUCCCAUACUAUAACUCUCAUAUGUUCAAAGUAGAGUUGGAUGCAAAUUGGUUGCAAGGACACCGCUUUCACGAAUUAUUUGUCGUCACUUCAUCAUGGUUGUUGCUACUGGUUUUCCUUGUUAUAUUAUUAUACCAUUGUUCGUCAAUACUCAAACACUAGCCCAAUCACCCAACUAGCCAAGCUUUAAGCCAUACUAAGCCAUUGCGAGCAUUGCCACUGCCAUCAUUGUGCCAACCCACAAGCUGCCUACACCCGUUGAAUCCCGCGCCUCACAAUUCCGGUCCAAUUAUGUUGAGUUCCAACUUGGAAAGUCAAUUCUUCAAAUUAGGUAAUUUUCUUAUCCUUAACUAAUUUGGAAUAUUUACAUGCCUAUUUUGAAUAAUUGCUAAUUUUUGUCAAAUAUCCAAUCAAAUAUGCAUAUCCACAAAAUCCAAAAUAUCACCCUAAGUUAGGAAACUUUACUAACUUAAUAAUAUGCUUGGAUGGUAAUUUAUUCUCCAACUAUGAAGUACGAUAUCCGAAGACAUGUGAAAUCUUUCAUCCUAUCCAAAACUAUUUAGAUACGAUCAUUGAUUUACCCAUUUCCAAUUCAAAUGGAAAACCUUCCAUCAAUAUCUUUAACUACUUGGAUAUGAUCAUUGGUUUAUUUUGUUUUCAAAUUUAAAUAAAUAAAAUAAAUUUUGUGGAUUGCAUUAUUUGAUGGAAUAGCUAUCCCAUUGCUUGAUUGUUUCCCAAAAAAAAAAAAAAAAAAUCCAAAAAAACGCAGAUAGAAUUUGAUUUGAUUUUUGUUAAUAACAUUGCCAGUUUUAGAUGAGAUUGCAUGUUAAAUUAUGUAACUUCUUUAUUUCAAAAUUUUAAAAUAGAAAAAACAAUAGUAUUUCUUUAGAAUAAAUUAGGUUUCCUUUUUUGAAUUCAAAAUCACAUGUUUAAUAUUGGGUAUUUUUUAUUACGAUUAAUUAAAAACACAAAAAGAAAUUACAUGCAUGUCAUGUAGAAUUAAAUUUACUAAUUAUACAUUAUUUACCAAUUACAUUUUUAGGGUCAUUAAAUUAAAAUGAGUGGCAUGCUAGAAUAGUUAUAUCAAUUAUAGACAUUUUAAUAUAGACAUUAUGUAUGUUGUUGCACCUAGAAUAGUUGCAUUGCAUUAUGCAUAAUUUAGAUUUUGUUAAAUAAGUGAAACCCCAAAAAUUGAGUGAUUAUCUGUUAAUUAGAAAUUAUAUAUAGGAUUAUUGAUUUGAUUUUUAAACUAAUAUCACACAUGCUUUCGUUUUUUUUUGGUUAAGUAUCACACAUGCUUUCGUUGCUAUAAGUUGCUAUAAGGAAAGUCAUGCAAUUUAUUUAUUUCUUUGUUUGGGUGUUACUUUGGGGUAAUAAAUUGAGUUCAAACCACAUGCUAAACAUCUUUUCAUAAAGAGAACAUUACUUAAAAUGUAUUAAAGAAAUCUAGUGUAAUCAAGUUCAUAUACCCAAGAUCUCUAGUUCGCAAGAGUAAAAUAUUUCUCUCAAUACUUUACAUGAAUUUUUAAUGAACUCACCAUAAACUACUUAGUGGCGACUCCUUAUUUAAAAUCAUUUACAUGCUAAGAACUUGAAUCCUAAGUUGCAAAUUGGUACGAGUUUAAGAGAGUCUAAGUUAAAUUUAGGCUUAAUAUUCCAUUAGCCGAACCCCUAGGUGGUGCACCAUGAGGGUAGAUCGCAACACUCACCAAACAUCAUAUGAUGUGUACAAAGAAUUUUUUUUUUUUUUUUUUUUUUGAGGAUUGUAACACUUGGAGGCACCUUGAUUAAGAAAGUAUCUAAGAAAAAUACAAGGUUUUUGUCGACAUUCAAGUUUGUGCUUACCAUAUGGUUUAAGCUAGGGAUAACAUAGGCAACCAAAAGCUCGAAAUUUCGAGGAGAGUCUCAACAGGAGAUAUAAAGAUUGAAGACCAGUGUAGGUAGAGAUUUAUUAGAAAUGUGGCGGCUUGAAAAGUGUAGGACCAACACAAGGAUGGAAGAGAUACUUAAUGAAGUAAUGUAAGACAUGUUUUGAUGACAUGUCUAUGACAAUGCUCAGCAAUCCCAUUAUGUUGAGGUGUAUUUGGAGGUGUUUGUAAAUGUGUAAUCUCAUGAGACUAGAAGAAUCCUUUUAGUUUUGAUAUUCUCUACCACCAUUAGAGUAAAUUAAUACAAGGGACUUUAGAAGUAAUUUUCCACGAAUUUCUUGAAUUUUGGAAAUAGAGAGAAAAGGUCAGAUUUUUGUUUGAUUGAGUAGAGCAAGAUGUAUAUGGUAUAGUGAUCCAUAAAAAUAACAUAAUAGGAAAAGUCAUCUAUUAUUUUCACUGAAAUGGGACCCAAAACAUCAUUGUAAAUGAGUUCAAGAGGUCGUUGGAUAGACUACGUAGGAGUACCAAAUAGAAGUUACUAGAUUGACAUAACUUGUACAAAAGUCUAAUGUGACUUGGAAAUAGAAGGAAUUGACUUCAAUUUUGAAAGAAACUCUAAGAUUUGAUGAAAGCAAUGACCAUGACGUCAAUGCCAAUCACUAGAGGAUGCACAUACACCAAUCAUAGUGAAGGGUGGCAUAUGAGUCACAUGGAGUGAAGAUGGAAGUUCAUAAGCAUCAUUGUUAUUCAGGCCUUGAAGGAGAUUUGCCCUUGUGCACAAAUCCUUCACCAAAAGGUGGUCGGGAAAAUUUAAAACAUAUAUUAAGUGUUUACUAAUAUCAAGGACACAAAAAAUAUCAGACAAUGAAUAUGAAACUGGGGGGUGGGGGCAAGGUGGGGCAGGAAAGUUUUGUUGAAUAUAUGUGUCUUAUUUGCAAAAUUUAGCCAUCGCCAUAACAAUUUUGUUUGUUCCUUUUUAAUUUGGAUGCAAAGAGAGAUUUUCUAGAUUUGAAGUCACAUAAUGAGAUGCUCCAGAGUGCAUGAGCCAUCCCUGCUCUGCUUGACGAGAUAACACUAUAUUAUUUUUGCACUAGGAGGAGAGAAGAAAUAUUGUUGGCCUGAUAACAUUGCUUGGUUGAGUGACUUACUUGUUCACAUAGUUGGGAUAGGAUUCAUGCUUUUUGAAUGGGUUGGUUAUGAUCAUAAUUUUUUCUCCUUUGCCAAUGAAAUUGUCAAGUUCACUAGGAGUUCAAACCUCGAUUUGAAAUGGAGUGCUGGUUGGUUUUCCUAUGAGAGACUUUCUUGCAAAUUUUGUACUUUUAAGAUAUUGUUUGAAGUCAACAAAUUUAUCAAAGUUCCUCAAAGGAAAUGGGUGAUUUAUGUGCUCUAAUGGCGAUAGAAAUUUCCUUGAAUUCAGAGUUAAGCCCAUUCAAAAUAUGUGUUGUUAAAUCAUCAUCAUGAAUGGGAGAAUUGAUGAUGGCAAGUUCAUCAGCAAUUCCUUUGAUGACUUGUAUAUACUUAGCCACUGAUCCAGUGACGCAUUUUGUGAGGAUUAAACACUCCAUGAGACUCAUGACAAAGCAAUGUGAAAGAUUGUUCCAAGCCUCAAGUGCUAUUUUGGCAGAUGCAAUUAGAGUCUGAAGUGGAAGCCAUGAUUGCUUGGAGCAAUAGUUGAUCUUGGCGUACCCAAUGCAAAUAAGAUGGAUUGGCAAUAGUUUUGCUAUCAAUAGUAGGUGUUAGACGAACAUAAUAUCAUUCCAUCUACAUACCCCAGUAAAUCAUAGCCUAGGAGCAAAAAGUAAUAUUGAACCAACCAGGAAGGAUUAAUCAUUGACGUUAACUUGUUGGGUAGUUGCAUAGUUGCAUUGAUAGACACAAGCAUGGUGGCGUUAUUUGAAGAGGGGUCAUUGACUAUCAUAGGAGAGCUAGUGUUUGAGGAUCCUCCCACCAUUGAAAAAAAAAAUUAAAUGAUAUGCUUGUGAGCAGCAAGCUCUGAUACAAAAAAGAAUUGGACAAAAUGCUCUUUUCUAUUAUUUCUUACAUGUAAUUAAGUUACAAAAUAACUAAUGGUUUAUAGAAAGACAUCGGCUAGAAUAACUGCAGUACAACAACUUUCCUAACUACAGCCUUUAUAAAUGCAAAGAUAAAAUCAUCUAUACAAAGGAAAGAUAAAAUGAGUUUGUUAGUUGUGAACACUCUCACUACACUUGCUAAGAGUACAAGAAUUGCUUAAUUGGUCUUCAUCUAAUUGAGAGUAAUAUUUUGAAUUACUUUGCUAUUUAGAGAUAUUUUCUCCAAUAUAGCCAAGAUUUAGCAAGAAAUUUAGGGUGCAUUUGUUUUAGUGAAAGUGUCUUCCAGGAACAUUAGUUUAGACUUUCUCCCAUUUGGUUCCAUGAAAAUGACAAGUCAAUCAAAACUACUUUCCAGUUAAUGAUGAGAUCUAUACAUAAAAUUAGGAAAGUGAAUUCCUAAAUCUAAAGAGGUGAAAACACUUUUUGAAAAUUGCUCAUCUUGAUUUAUUAUUAUUUAUUAUUUUAUUAUUUUUUCUUUUUUUCUGUCUUUUAUUUUUUCCUUCUUCAUCUGCUGGUUGUCAGGCCUUAGCCGUGGUUGACAAUAGGCCACAAGCGGGGGCUGGUAACCUCGCCAAAAUCUGGUGCGCUCAAGCUCACUAGCCUUAGGUGAGCUCCAACCUCACCAAGAUCUGGCGAGGCUCAACCUCAUUGACCUGCUCCUGUGACUGGUUACCAAGGACUAAUAAUCGGCGGAGGAAGAAGUUAAAAGAAAGAAAUGAAAAAAAAUAAAUAUAUAUAUUUAAAAAUUCAAAUUUAUAUUGUCUAGUAUAUCAUGAGAUCGAAAUCAUUUUUUAAAUAUGAUCCAAAUACCCAAAAAAGAAAAAAAUAGUCACAUAUUAGCAAACAAAGAAAAACUAAUGAUUCCUAAAAAUAAUUUUUAGAAAGCAUAUUCUUUAUAUCAUUAAAGUUUUCAUAAAAUAAAUGCACCCUAAUUUUUCUCAAACUCGAUAAUACGAGCUUGCAACCAAACUGGAAGUUAAAGAGGCAAAAUGAAAUCAAUGAGUUGGACUUGUGAUUUGAUCCGUCUUGACUUAUCAUGCUCUUUUUGGGGUUAAACAUAUCCGGGGAAAUUGUCAUGAUUGGGCCAGCAAUGUAUUCAUGCAGGGACGCCCUUGGCUUGAUUCACUAGUGAUUCUUCAUAAGAAGUUUUUAAGACAUUGUACCAUGAGAAACCGUCAAGAAUACGUGAGAAGAACACGAAGUGCUCGAGCCUCGCCGACCGUUGUGCUGCAUAGAGUAUCUGAGAUAUGGCAAUGUCAAAAGGUGAGUGCAGUCUUCUUCAGAAAAGUACUAAAACAUUUCCAAAUCUAUUAAAAUUAAGUCAAUUCGGUCAUAAACUUUUUUAUUAUACCAACUUAGUUCUAAACAUUUUCACAAUUCACCAAUUGAGUCUUUUUCACCUAUUUUGGUCAAAAAUCAUUGACAUGGACAUCGAUUGUUUUAUGUAACACGACCAGCACUUAUAUAGACAAUUUUAACCAUUUUUUUUAAAAUGAAUUUUUUGUGACUUUCUUUAUUUCUUUUCAUUUUGGCUUAGUAAGAGCUAGCAAGCUCUCUUCAAACACUAAUGAGGGUCAUAGCCCUCACCUAGGCCCAUACCAAAUUUGGGUGAGGGUCACCUCGCCCAUGGUCGACAGGGCUACUCGCCCAUGGCCGGCAAGGCCAUCGAGGGCCUUCACACCCUCUCUUGUAGCCUGUUAGGCUGCCACUGGCUCUAGAUGAGGGUCAUAGCCCUCGCCAGCCAAAAUGAAAGGAAAAAAAGAAAGAAAGAAAGAAAAACUAAUAAAAAAAUCUUAUUAACAGAAUGUUCAUGUCAGUAUUGGCUAUGGUACAUAGGAUAAGCAUCAUUCACGUCAACAAUUUUUUGCCAAAAUUGCCUAUUAGCACUAGAUUAGUACAAUUAAAAGAUUUUGGAUUGAAUUGACAUAAUUGCAAUAGGUUUAAAAAAUUUUGGUACUUUUCCCUAUUUCACAUGUUAGUGGCUUAGGUUAAUGAAAUUAAUGAAGAAUGCAUGCAAAUGCUUUUAUAGAAAGAAAGGUACCAAGAGGGCAUUUCACAUGCCCAUAAAUGAUUGACGGCUCCAAAGUGAUUAUAAUGCAUGAUUGAAUUUGAGAAUCCAAGUUGCAAUUAGUAAGGGCUUGGGAGAGUUCGCAUUAAGCAUGAGCAUCAUGUGACUUUGUUCUAGUUUCACAAUUCAUUAGCUUUUUCCUUUUUGAUUCAUCUGGGCAACAUAUUUUUGGUUGUCCAUACUUCUUAACAUGUCUUAUCCUAAAUUAUAGAUGUUUAAAGUAUGCAAUUAUGUAGUAGUGGUCCCUAGUCUUACCUUUCCCUUUCAGAAUAGAGACAACUACUUUUGCAAGCUUAUCAUUGACAAUAAAGUUAAAAGUAAUUAAUUCAAUUUGAUUUACAGCUGAUCAUCUAUUUUGAAUAGCCUCACCAUCUCGAAAAAUAAUUUGGUGCUUCGCCUUGAUAUUGCUAGUAUAAGUACCUAGAGGGGGGUGAAUAGGUGCCUAAACAAUUUAUCGAUAUACGGAAGCGAUUCUUAACAUAUGAUAGAAAGUAAAUUCUCUCUUAAUUAACAAAAUGAAAUACGAUUGAGGUAGAGAGAGUGAGGAAGAGAAAAUUGAACACAGGAUUUAUAGUGGUUCGGCUUAUUCCAAGCCUACGUCCACUCUUCCGCACUGACAGCCCACCGGCUGGAUUUCACUAUGAUCAAAAGAGAAGUUACAGCACAGCUUUGCCUUGAUUCCACAGUGUAGAUGUUUUACCACACCUCCUCAAGGUCUCUCACAAAUAUAGACUCUCUUUUGUAUACAAGUAUUCGCUCAAAGGAUUUAUCUAAACAAAUAGGAGCUUCAGACUUUGGAAUUCUUCUAUCGCGCACACCUCGAACAACUAAGAACGUCUUCCUUAUAUACUCCUUUAUGCCAUCAUACCCGUUGGCACUUACCAAAGGAAUUCCUCCAAUCUACCCGUUGGACAGAAUCAAUUAGGAAGAUUGUUCGAACUAUUAAAGGAACGUGUUGAUAGCCCAUCAAUCAUGUUCGCCCAUACAAUCAAGAUCUCGGUUUCCAUAAGUAGAACCUUCCAAUAAUAUUUAGACAAUCAUCGAAUCUUCAGUCAUUGAAUCAAUCUUGAUCAAUCAAAGGAUUCUUAUACGUCUUCUCCAACCACGAGAUCUUCUCCAGAUGAUAAGGUUAAAUCCUGAACAAAACAUCCAGUUCUGGAUAACCUUUCUUCAACGGAUUAGAGACUGUCAAUGAGGAUAGAUUUUGAGUCUUGAGUCUGGCUGUCCAGAAGUCUUCAGACUUUAACUAACAGAGUCUGCAGACCUUCAGACUAGACUGAUGGAAACGUUUUAUCAACUUCAAAACACUUCACGAAGAUUUCUCCAACACGCCUCUCCUCUUUUCCUCUUUGUAUGUGAGGGUAGAGAACGAACGCUCGCCUAGAAGAGAUGAGUUAUAUUGCAAGCUUUACUUGAAGCCUGAAGGGCAUUGAUCAUGCGUAUCCUUCAUCACGGUAGAGAGAUUUGGGUCAGUGAAAAGAGUUUUCAUGGUGUGCGAAGAUGACAAGGCCGUGGAGGUUGACUUUCAGAGAAGGAUGAUCGAUCGGAGUCCUUCCACGGCGGUGAAGUUGAUUGAAGAAGCCGAUCACAUGGCCAUGCUCUCCAAGCCUCACUAGCUUCGUCAAUGCUUCGAGGACAUUGCUAAGAAUUGCUAUUGAGGCACGGAGUACGAACUGAGCUGGAUCAAUUCGCACAUCGCACCAUUAACAAUUUGCCACAUCACUCUUUACUGUGCUGAUCCUGUGAACUAAACACCCCCGAUUGUAUCUCCUAAACUCUCCAAUGUGCUUACUUUUGCCCUUCUUAGCUCAAGUUUUUAUCAGAAUCUUGUCAUUUUCUCAAGUUAAAGGACUCGCAAACCAUUAAGUAGAUUCGUAAACAUGCUAAUUUUUUCUGCCAAAAGUGAAUGAGACAAUUACACUGGAAAAAAUCUACAUGGCAUUUUUUUAUUAAAGGUCACGUGGUUUUUAAAUAUAUAGAUAUAUAAAAGGUGACGGAACAUAUGUGUAAGAAUAUUUAUAAUCAUUAAUUAGUGAAAAUUCUUUAAAAUUAGCAUCGAUCCAGUCUUGCUGAGAUUCCCUGUUGCAAUUCCUUUUAUGUUAUCCAUGAAAGUUUUCGGAGGGCUAACGUUUUUUCAUUCAAGUUGUGGAGAAUACUGCUUUUUAGAACCAUGAGAGUUUACAUGAGUUAAAAGAACUUACGGGGAGUGAAUUCACAAGAAUGAUGAGUUAAAUCCAACAUGGCAUCUCACACAAGACUCUUCUGGCUGAUUUUUCAAUACCUCUUGAUGGCCUAUAAUCGGGUUUCAUGCAUCUAACGAAAAUUCGAAAACUUGCUGCACGACGAGUAGGUCUAUCAAAAUGAGUCUUAAACCUAUUUCCAACCCACUAGGCUCACGCAUACACUCUCUCUCUUCCUUUUUUUCCUUAUACAAAUAUUUAAAAAAAAUUGAAAUUAUAAUUAUUUUUCUACUAUUGUUUUUUUUUUUCUUUUUUUUCCUAUUUUUUCAUUUCUUCUUCCUUCUUCAAUCUUCUUUGGCCAAGGGCAAGCUUGAUCUCACCAGAUCUAGUGAGGUGGAGCCUCACUUGAGGUUGGCGAGGUUUGGCCCAUUAGAACCGGGCGAGAUUUAUGUGGUAGCAUACAUGCCUAGGCCAAAAACCCCGCCUGUGCUUCUCUUGCAAGAGGUGCAAUGGCCCUAAGAAGUCGAAUAUUUUUUGCGUUGUCCUAUAAGUGGCUCAAUUAAUUAGGAAAAAUUAAUUGCUUAACAUGGUAUCGUAAUGAAGUUAAUGACUUUGAUCCAUUUAUCCUUUACACAGGUUUAAAUUUAUUUGCAUGUGUGUUAAAUUAUUACUCGAAUUUAAGCAUUUGUAAAACCGCAAUUCGCUGGAUUCUUGAAAAUUUACAAAAGAGGAAAUAUUAAAUAAAUGGAAGCAAAGUUUCUUCUUUGCAGCGGAAUCCGAAACGUGAAAGUGAAGUCCUUCUGCACCUUUGGCGUGAAGAUGAAGUCCACUCGUGGAGACAAUUUGUGCUGGGCUGAGAUCAAACUUUGACUUGGGCACACACGUAUAAAAACAGAAUUUCUUUUGCAGGUCUUCUUUUCUCCCGUGAGAAGCCGCCGAAGUUCUCUGCACGUAAAAGCCAAGCGUAGGUGGGCCCACGUCAAACUUUGACCUGGGCACACGUAUAAAACAGAAAUAUUAUGUAGGUUUCUUUCCUUCGGUGAGUUGCUGUCGAAGCCCUACGAAGGCAGAACAGAAAGGAGCCGUAGGUCCACGCAAGCCACACGAAGCUUUCCAAAAGAAUGCAAAGAUUUACGUACGUAGAACGUUCAUUUGAAUUUGAACGCACGGUAAUUUUGUGCCAUGAAUUUAUAUCUAAGUGAGUUGUUUAUUUAUGAACACUUUGGAUUUGAGGUUAAAUCUAGGUGUGUGAAACACUUGAGCGUUUUGAACGAUUGUAAACUCUGAGUCUGCAAUUAUAGUAGAUUAUUUGCUGCUGGCUCUCCCCGUGAACGUAGGUACCGAUACUCAGACUAAAUCACGUAAAUUUCGGGUAUCCUUAUUACUACUCAUUUAUUUCUCUGGUGAUUUCGCGUUGACGUCAAUUGUAAGAUCCUGUUGUUUCCACAUAUUAUAUUCCAACAAUGUGAAGGAGCUUCGAAAGAUUUCAGACUCACGUAUCCAAUUUGCACUUUAAUGCCAUCUCCUCAUGGCUUGAGUUUAUUUAUUAAAAAAAAAGAAAAAAAAAAGAUUGCAUAUCGAUUAGAAAAGUACCUAUUAUGAGGAGCUUUGUGAUUAGUUCUCUGACUUUGAGAAAAUAUCUAUGACAAAAUCCAUGUUCAUCCGUCUUCUGCAGUCCCGGCGAUAGAAGUCCCUCAUACGCUUUUCUUUAAAUUAUUUCUUUAGAAAAAGCAAUCUGGAGCCGUCAUGUAGUAAAAAGUAUGACGGUGGGCAGAAGGACGAUUACAUGGCCGAGAAGCUGCACCAAAACUGUUUGGCAGAGGUGAGACUCGCACAUAACUGCUCUUCUCAUAAUAAUAGGCAACAAGGAAGCACAGACGACGUAUACUGAAGACCAGUGAGGUUGUCCAUGGAGGACAUAGCGAUGAGGAGAGAUAUGGGUCAGUGGAUCGAGUUUUGGUUCUGUGUGGAGAGGACAAAACCAUGCAAGUAGAGUUUCGGAGACGGAUGAUCGAUCAAAAUCCUCCCCAGGCGGUGAAGCUGAUCGGAGAAGCCGAUCACAUGGCCAUGCUCUCGAGGCCCCAUGAGCGUUGUCAAUGCUUUGAGGACAUUGCUAAGAAUUACUGUUGAGAAACAAAGUAUGAAGUACGUUGGUUCAAUUCGCAUUUCAAACCAUUAAAAUCUGCCACAUUACCGCUACUAUGCUAAUUCUAUGCAGUAAGUAAGACCAUCGUCUCUCGUAAACUCUACAAUAGCUUAAUUUUGCUUUUCUUAGCUCAAUUCUUGAUUUGAAUUUUGCCUCUACUCAUGUCAAUAAUCUCGCUAAUUAUUAAGCAGAUUCAUAAUAUGCUAAACUGUUUCCUUUUAUGCCAAAACAGAAUGGAAUGAUUGUUGGAAAAAUAUUAGAUAAUAUGAAAAAUAAUGAGAAUUGUUGAAAAUCUAUUGAAAAAGACAAUAAAAUAAGAUCAAUUGUCCGAGCUGUGUGAGCAUUGUCUUUAAGCAUAAUUCCACCCGUUGAAGCACAAAACUCAAUGUGCAAGGCUCUAGCGACUAUCCUCCCAAGAUAUAGCGAACAUUCUUCUAUACUUUGCACUCAAUAUUAGAAGGAAUAGGAACAAUAUUAUGUGUAUAACCCGGCUGUCGCGAUCGAAUUUUCGGGUGUGAACCACCUAAGGUUUGACUAAUGGAUUACUAAGCCUAAACUUAACUCGGCUCUCCCAAGCUCAUACCAAUUCGCGAAUUAGGUUCAAAUUUCUUAACAUGCAAAUGGAUUUUAUUUAUGAGUCGCCACUAAUCAGUUUAUGGUAAGUCGAUUAGACACCUGAGUAAAAUAAUGGGAGAAUUACUUUACUCCUACGAACCAAAGACUAAGGGUAUGGGGACUUGGUUACAUUAGAUUUCUCUAAUGUCUUUUCGGUACUAUUCUUUUUAUCUUCAAAAAUGUUUUUUUUUUUUUUGCAGGCAGCUAAUUUAUUUUAACCUAAAUUACUAUCAUGCAAAAAGUGAUCACACUGAUGCUCAAACAUUCAAUAAACAUUGAAUAAAAAGAUAAAUAAAUAAAUUGCAUCACACAAAGCAAGCAAUCAAUUUUAUUUUAUUUUUUGGUUUUCUUGAAAUUAGAAUUUUUUCAUAAAAACAUGCAUUUUAACUACAUGACCUAAACUAUAUGACAUGAAGAAAUGCAAUAAUUAAAUGCGAUAUAAAUGACCUAAUUCUAAUGACAUACAAUGCAAUGCAAUGACAUACAAAAUUAUUUCAACUAAAAUGACAUGUAACAUGCAAUUUAAUAUGCGAGCUAUAUGUCAUGCAACAUUUAUUAAUUGACAUAGUGUAAUGAUGAGCAAUUCAUAAUAUAAUGAACUUAACAGCAAUCAUUAAAUAACGUGCAUUUCAUAAACUUAAUUCUAUAUGACGUGCAUAUGAUUUUUUUAUCCUAUAAAUGCAAUCUAUUCUAAAUAAUGAAGUGAAUUUAAAAUGAAACUUGCAAUUUUAUCCUAAGAUGCCAUGACAUACAAAGAAUGCCCUAAUUCUACAUGAUAUAUGCAUGAUGAUUCUUUUGUAUUUUUAUUUUUAUAAAAAUUCGAAAUUAAAAUUAAUACAUAAUUAAACAUUCAAUCCAAAUAACAAACUAACAACCUAAAUGAAUGCGUUCUUUUGUUUUUUAUAUCUUUCUAAAUUCGAAAUAAAAUCCCUAUUCUAGAUAUGCAAGAUAACAAGAAAUAUUCCAAAACAAACUGAAUCCUAAUUCAAAUAUUUUUUUGGAUUUUUUUUUAUAUUUUUAGUGUUUUUCCAAGAUAAUCAACUAUAUCCAAGCAAUUAAGAUAUCCAUCAAAUAAUGAAUUAGAAUAAUAAAAAAAAAAUAACCUAUUGUCUCACGGGUCAAAUUAACAAUUACUUUAACCCUAAACAUCACGACAAAAAAUCAAAAUAAUUAAAAAUCUGAUCCAAAGUCUUACGGAUCAAAUUAAUAACUAUAAUGAUUUAACAAUUAAAAUAUCAUCAAAUGCCCAAAAAUUAAUAUAAUUAAAAAAAUGAUCCGACGUCUUACGGACCAAAUUAAUAAUUACAUAGUUUUAGGCAAAAACUUAAGGAUAAUGCCUAAACUAUAUAAAUAAUUUAAAUUGACAUCCCAUGUUCUAACUUAAGCAAAAAUGAUAGCACUUAAAAUAACUAGAUAAAUAAAUAAAAAUAAAAAGAUAAAAGGUAAAUCACCUGAAAAGGAAAUUGAAAAAAAAAAGGCAACGAUGGUGGACAGCGCCAGGCGGAGGAUGGUCGGCGUCAAAGCUCCGAUGAGGGCAUAGCAGGUGCAUGGUGAGGAGCUCCGACGAGGAGACUCGGAACGGAGGUGGUCGGGCGUCUGCUCGGGCUGCUGGAGGCCGACGAGGCUAUGCAGGCUGCCGGAUUUGAUGGUGUAGGGGAAGGUCCGCUGAGGUUGCAGGCUGCUGAUCAAUGACGGCAGGGACCUGUGCUCCGGAUCGCGAGCGAAGCGACGGCUUCGCGGCUAAGACGGCGUCGGAGGCAGAGCGAGGGCUGCGCGGCAGUUGCGGCUGGCUUCGGGGCAGCGUCAGAUUUGGGAAUCAAGGCGGAGGCGGUGCCGGGGUGGCGCGGAUCUAGAUCCGGCGAUGGCUGAGCUCGGGGCGGGGCCAAUGGCAUCAUGGCUGUGGCGCGCAGAGAUGGCUUUGCAGGCUACAGGCGAGGCGCAGCGAGGCUCGGCGUCAUGGUGGCGUGGGUCGUCGAGGCUCGCAGACAGAGACUAGCGGCUACAUCGGCGCGGGGAAGGCGGCUCAGUUGUGGCACGGCUCGGGCCUACUCGCGGAGGGUGGAGCGUCGGGGCUUCGGGUCAUCGAGGCAGGGGCGCUGACCGAGGUGGAGGCGCACGACGGAUCGGCGACUAGCUCCGGCGUCGAGACUGGUCGCCAUGGCAGGGAGUGGCUCGGCGUCAGGUCAUCACUGGAGAUGCGGCGUCGAAGCGGCGUUGGCGAUGGUUCGGUGGGCGGCCAACCAACCGGGGGGGGGGAGCAUCGAAGAAGAUGAUGAAUAGUGCUAGGAUUUCUCUCCUUUUUUUUUUGUUUUUUUUUCUCUCUCCUGCUGCACGUCCCUUCCUCUCUGCCCCUUCACUUUUCUGCAUAAGCUUUUUGCUUUUGACCUUUUCUCUUCUUUUUUUUCGAAGAAGAGAAACCUAGAAAAAGCCCCCCAAUCUCAACCUUUGUGCGCACCUUUUAUAGGCAAAGAUAAAUGUGAUAUUUGGAUGAUACUUCGUAUCUUUUUUAAUAUAGGCAAAGAUUAUUUAUAACCUCCCGAUCACAAAAAUCUUUUUAUUUUCCUUAUCUCCUUAAUAUUCCUAAUGAUCUUAUCACCUAAAGACUAAAUAUAAGAUUGCAACCCAAUUCCAAAAACCACCGUAAUAUCGCAUCAAAUCUCAAUUUCCCACGAGAUAAUUAAUUUUAAAAAACACCGGGCUUGGGCUAAUUUAUUCCUUUUGCGGGCCUAAUCUGACCUGCCAAGCUAGAGCUCAGAAAUAUUAAUUCACACCCCUCCACCAGCAGUCCUAAAAAAAUAAAAUGCAAAUAUGCAGACUAAAAAAUAAAUGCAUCUAAAUUUACAUGUUAUGCAAUUAAUAUUUUUUCAGCGAUAAAAUUACCCCUAAUUUUCUAUACAAUAAAUGACCGGCUCGCCGAAAUUUAGGUGUCAACAGCUACCCCUCUUUGAAGGUGAGCUCGUAGAGGUUGCUUUCGAAGACAAAUUAAGACCUAAAUUUUAACCACGCACACACACUGAAUGAUUUUUUUUUGUCGGAAAAUGAACCCCAUUUUAAAAUGCAAUUUAAUGAUUCAUGGAAAUGUUAAUGCAAAUGCAUGAUUUGAAAGGAAAAGAUGUACCUGCAAUUACUUACCAAUCAGUGCGGUAAAGCAUCUUGAGGUACAUGAUAAAUCCCCAUUUACUCUGUAAGUACCUAACUCUCACUUAAGUUCCUUAAAGAGUAUAAAAGGUAAUAGAUGGAGAUUGAGAAGAACAUUCACAUCCAAAGUGAAAUGUUCAAAGAAUUGAGACAUCUAGAUCCAGACUGAGAUGUCAAAAUUUUUGAACUCGAAAUACCUAAAUCCAAACUAAGGUAUAAUGAGAAAAGUCGAAAAAACAUUCACAUCCAAAGUGAAAUGUUUAGCGAAAAGAAUGGAGACAUCCAGAUCCAGACUGAUAUGUCUAAUUUUUGGAAAAUGGUAAAAGAAAACUUACCUGGAAUAUCUUACCUUCAAGGAGGGUAGAGUGAUCCAAGGUAAUUGGUGCUAUACGUUCAGGACUCGUACCUUUCUACAGUCACCUAAAAUAGUAACGAGAAGACUACUUUCCUAGGACCCGUACCUUUCUACGGUCAUCUAGUACGGCAGCAAGGUUUUGUAAGGAAACUACUUUUCUAGGACCCGUACCUUUCUACGGUCACCUAAUAGGGCAGUGUUUGGUUGUGUCUAGGACCUAUACCUUUCUACGGUCGCCUUGACGAAAAAAAUUGAUUUUUCAGGACCCGUACCUUUCUACGGUCGCCUGAAUGGGGAAAUUGCUUUUCUAGGACCCGUACCUUUCUACGGUCGUCUGUUAUAGCAAUAAAUGUUGUCUAGGACCCGUACCUUUCUACGGUCGCCUAAACUGAAGUUUUGCUUGGCUAGGACCCGAACCAUUUAUCGGUAGCCUAGCAUUACAAUAUGGGGAAUGAUCUUUGGGGACAACUCAAUCGAGUGGCGAUUAAAAGGGACUCUGGGCUAUAAAAGCACACUAGGUCAAUAUAAAUGGACACCGGGCUACGAAAGCAUGCCGAGUCGAUAAAGAUGGGCCCUAGGCUACGAAAGCACGCCAAGUCAAUAUAAAGGACACCGGGCUACAAAAGCACGCCUGGUUAAUAAAGAGGGACUCUAGACUAUGAAAACACGCCGGGUCAAUAUAAAGAGACUCUGGGCUACGAAAGCACGCCAGGUCAAUUUAAAAGGAUACCGGGCUACAAAAGCACGCCGUGUCAAUAAAGAGGGGGAUUUGGGUUACGAAAGCAUGCCAGGUCAAUUUAAAAUGACAGCUUGAUUGAGUCAAGUGUUGAGAAUGGGUAGAGAUACACUUACCUAAUGAUAUCUUUGAUUCUUUGGGGUAUGUCUUCUGGAACUUAGAUAUCCUAUGGAGGCCUCUCACCUCUUGGUAGAAAUAAAUUUUGGAACAUCAAGGAUGCACCUUGAAUGUUCAUGAUGGUUUCUCAUCUCUUAAUAUCAUGACGCAUUUUGAAAGGAACCUGAAUAUUAGGAGCUCUUGGGUCUUUGAGAAAACAUUAUCUAUCAGACAUGAUUAGAGCAAAAAUGCAUUUACCAAUGAAAUAAGCAAUUAAUGCUAUUCUGGAAUGCAUGCUUCAAAAUCUACUGAAGCUUUCAUCAAUUCAAUGAAGGUUCAUGCAUAAUAAAUUUUGCAUCAUCCAAAUUUCCACUAGAGAGAAUUAUCGUUUAAGACAAUUUUCACUCGUGACAUGGAUUUCUUAAGAAUACUAAAUGAGAGACUUUCGGUUAGAAAAUACUUUCGAUCACUCUUAUUUAGAAUGGCUAUUUUAUGCGAAUCACUCAAUUUCAUCAUAUCGACAUAAAUCCGAGUAUUCUCGCAAGCGGUACGAUCUUACCAAUCUAAGAGGUCUUUAAUAGGGACCAUAAUGUGGGCUUGUUCAAUGGCUUAACAAAUGGACUCUUUGAGUCAAGGCUAUUGAAUGAACGGUCUUGUAAUCAUCUCCGGGUUUAUAAGUCAAGAACCCUGCAAAAUGAGAAAGAAAUAAUCUUGCUCGCACUUCUUCGAGUGAUGCUUAUAAACAUAUGAACCCCUACAUUAAUUCAAGUGCCCUAAUCUGAAGACACUUUAUAAGGGACGUAACAUAGGUUGGGUUCAUGGGUUGAGAAAUGAAAGGAUCAUUAGGCUCAAAAUAUGUGUGAAGGGUUAAAGCUGAUGAUCAUCUAAGCAUUGUCACUGGUCUUCUCUUUCGCCAGGGAUGAGCCAUUGAUUUUGAUUCUUUGAGUACUGCUCCAUUGAGAUACAACCUUUUGCAAUUGAUAGUCACCUAUCAUGACCUUCUUUUUUCAUCUAUGGACAUUGACCUUGCUUUUACCAGGCACACCACUUUUUAUGCCCCUAGUUCUCAUGCAUUUUUUUUCACUUCUUUUCAUGGGCAUUGGCCUUGUUUUUACCAGGCACACUGUUUUUUCAUGCCCUUUAGUUCUAUUUUGAAUUCAAUUCUUGCGCAUAAUGCAUGCGUCAAGCAAUUACACUUUGAAUGACACUCGAACUUUUCAAGAGUCUUCAUCUGCCUUUUGCCUUGCCCUAGUGUGGAGGAUGAUCACCAACAAGGUUUGAAGAAAUGAAAUUGCAGGCUCAAGUGGGUUAUGCAAAGGAUAUAAGUGUAUGGGAUAGAGAAAGAAAUGCUCUUCGUCAUCCUAGGGCACUUAAAUUAACACAUGAAUUCAAUGUAAUAGCACUACUUGAAGAUUGAUGCAAGUGAGAGCAAGAAAAUUUCAAUUCAUUUUCCUUACCUCAUGAUGUCAUUUUAUCUCCUAGCUGCACCGAUGUGGGGUGAUUCUUGACAGGGGUGAUUCGAAAAGAAUAUCCAUAAGUGUAUGGACUCAAAAGGGUUAAGCAAUUGAUCACAUGUAGUAUUUGGGAUAGAAAAAUGAAUUGCCCCUCAUCAUUUCGGUUGCCGCACCUCUUGCAAGAGAACUCUUUAUUUUAUGGAUAUGAACCUUCCUACACUCAUCUCAUAAGUGUAUCAAUAUGGGACUAUGUAUAGGAUAGGAUUUGCCUUUCAUCAUCCCGACUCGUCUCAUUUAGUAUGCUCAAUCAAUUCCACAUCAUUCAUUAAAUUAGUCCAUCUUGAUGUUCUUUAGUGGAAUUGGUGGAUAAAACAUGUAAGAGUCAUCAUGCAAAAUCCUUUUUAAAAAAAAAAAAAAAGAUCUUAACAACUUUAGGCAUGGAAUAUUGUCAACUUUAAAACAAACAAUUUUCCACAAUAACAAUGGUUUUAAGCAUUUAUUCAGGGGUUGCUCCACAAAGGGAUUGCCUUAGCAGUUGAUGUCUUUGAAUUGUCCUUAUCAUUCAAGACUUAAAAUCCACUUUUGCCCCUGCACAAGAGAACGUGCAUCAGUAUGAUACUAUGCAACAUCAAAGUAAAUUCAAAUUACACAUCCAUUUUGGCUCGAGUUGAGACUUUAUCCCAAUCGGGUCACUACCAAAACCUGUCAUGCCCCUAAUUUGUCAACUCUUCCACCAAGGAAUGAUGGUCCUCUUUUUACUUGCCCCAAAUCUAUUUUUCACUGCAAGUGUGCUCUAAGCCUGUUGAUCACAAGUCAAGUUUAUGAUCAUUAAAAUUUGAUACACUAUUCUCAGAUGUCCCUUGUCAUAACAAGUUAUAGAAUUAUGCUCUAAGACAAGAAGCAAAUGAGUUAGACAAACAAACAGGUUUAAUCUACAACAAGCUUUGGGAAAUUUUUUUUUUUUUUAAGCAGUGAAAUGCUUUUGUUUUUGAAAAAGUUUUUAGGAUGAAGUAUGAAAAAGUUCAGCCCUCAGGAUUUCUCCGUGGAUAAUAGUUUCUAUUUCAUGGUAGGAUAUCGUCAUCGGGCUGGUUUGGCGUGCAUCAUUAUGCCCUCAAAAUUGGAAAUAAAAUUGUAAUUUCAUUGAAUAUAAUCAAAUGAAUUACAUUAUUGGAAUGGAAAAUGAAAACAAGCAAACCCUAGAAAUAAAAUCAAUAAUUGAAAUCUCAAAAAGCAAGAAAUUCUAAAAAACUUGAAGUCCUAGAAGAUAAGAACUUCUUCACUCAGUAACAGCGUUUGCGCCUCCAUCAUGGUUCAACGGAGAAUUUUUCUGAUUACUGCUGAAAGAGAACGCCUUUGUAUCCAAGAGAUCUUGGACCUUAUGCUUCAAAACAUAGCAAUCAUCAUUGGAGUGGCCAACCUCUCCCAUGUGAUAGUCACACUUUUCGGAGGGAUUAUAUGCAGGAUAAUGCUCGGGAUUUGGUCGCUUCGGUUCAGUAGAGAUUAAUCCCUUCUUUUGGAGAAUAAGCAAAACUUUGGAUAGGGGUUCGGGAAGAGGUGUAAACUGUCUCCAAACAUUACGUCGUCGACUCGAGAACUGAUGCCCUCCACCUUGUUGCUUAGUAGAAGUCUUAAUUACUGGAGCACGAUUGGAUGCAUCACGAUUCAGUUGAGAGUAGGCCAUAUUAAUCUCAACUUCAUGAUCCUUCUCCUUCUUGGUAGAAAAUCUCUUGUUAGAUGGCUCAGUAAGCCACCCUUCUCUUAUCCCCAUCUCGAUCUGUUCACCCAACGGAAUAAGUUGGUUGAAGUUCUCAAAAUACGUGCUAGCCAUCCGAUUGUGAAACUCAGACAGGAGGGUCUUCACGAACAACUUCAUCAGCUCCUUGUUGGUAGGCUCAGGAGUGAUUUGAGCUGCCAAGUUUCUCCAUCUCAUAGCAUAUUCUUUAAAUGACUUGUUCCUUUUCUUUUCCAUCUGCCCCAGGUCCUCUCGGGAAGGUGCGAUGUCCAUGUUGAACUUGUACUGUUUGAGGAAUGCGUUAGCCACUUCGUUCCAGGUGUCGAGGAGGUUCACAUUCUUCAUCACAUACCAAUUCAGAGCGGGCCCAGUCAAACUCACAUGGAAUGAUUGAAUCAUGAGGGCUCAUUUUUUACAUGCUGGGCCAUGGGCACGUGGUACAUCUGCAAAUGAGAUUUUGGGAAAGACGUAUCGUCAUAUUUCUCAAAUUUCGGCAUUUUGAACUUGCUCGGCAUUUUGACCUUCUCAUAGACCGAGAGGUCGAACGGGAGGGAGCUUUGUGACUCCUGUAGCUGUCUCACUUUCUCUUCCAGCUUCGCAACACGCUCACCCUGAUCUGUCUUGGGAACGCCGUCAAGCUUGGCCUUUCCAACAAUGACCGAGUCAUCAUCCAGCUCAAGCAUGUCGUCGUCAAUCGUUUGAACCUUGUUUGCUUGCUUCGGGAUAACUAUUUCAGGAAGAGCGAGUGCAACUGUUGGAUUCGCUUGGAGGAAUUGGAGUUGAUCCAUCACAAGUUGUAUAGAGGCGAGUACUUGUUGGAGUUGAGUCUCCACAGCGGACAUAUGAUCACGAAUUUCAUUUUGGUCAGCCAUUUUAGCCCUUGAUCGUGUAAUAAUAGGCGAUUGCAGUGGAUCCGUUAUGACCUAAAAAGGAAAUUGAAAAAAAAAUAUGUAAGCACAAGGUGUAAAUAGAGAAACAAUCCAUGACAAUGAUCUAAUCAAUUUUUCAUUUUUUUUUUUUCAUGAAAAGUUUAUGCCAGAAUGGAACUUCCUAAAAAUAACUAGAAAAAUAGAAAUAGAACACCCUAGCAAAAACUAAAUUUCCUAAAUACGAAUUAGGAAAGGCCAAAAUUUGAAACUCCCUAAUGAGAACAAUAAAGACAUGAAUUGAAAAUAAACUUUCCAAAGUUUUUUUUUUAUUUAUUUUCCAAAUGAUUCAUUGCACAGCAACUUCCUCAUUUCAUUUCUAACUAACAAAUGAAUUAAAUCAAUGAUUAACCUAGAUUACCAUGGACCGACACAAAGUACGAUAAAAUAAAUUGCAUGAUAUAGGGAUAGAAGACUUACUUCACCAAGGAAAAUCAAUGACAAUCAUAUAGACACACGCAUGAAAUGUGAGCCUUGAUUUCUACCUAGACGGCUUAACAAAGUGGAGCUAAAAGGAUGAUCUGACCGUUGCAGUCUCGCAUUAACGUGUCAGGUCUUCCUAACCUCGGCCUAGUCAAAUGGAAUACCCCAUAAUCACGCAGUCUUGCGGAUAUGAACAAACACAUUCGACACCAUGAAAGAAAUUUUAGGAAAGAGAAUGUCAAUCUCUACAUAGCAGUCUCGCUUUGGAGGAAGUAUUAUUCUCAACACCAUCCUAGAAAUCCUAUCGCAGCCCAGGUCCGACCGCAGGUUGUGUGUGCAAUAGUGUAGUGCUAAAAACAAUAAAACAUGCACAACAGUUUAAAUGCAAACAACACUUCCAUAAUUUUAAUUCAAACAUUCAUCCCUAACUCCAAUCUACAAGACAGGGGUUAGCAAAGACUACUCCCCUUAUACCUCCCAUCUGCAAGAAUAUUUAACACUUAAAUUAGGGACGUACCUGGGAUCCUCACUGCCAAACAAAAAUAUUUUUAAAAGAAAACGAAAAAUUGGCCUAAGUCCACUAAGUGUUUUAACACAAGUCCCCAGCAGAGUCGCCAAGCUAUCGCGACCAAAUUUUCGGGUGUAAACCACUUAAGGUUUGGCUAAUGGAUUGCUAAACCUAGACUUAACUCGGGCUCUCCCAAGCCCAUACCAAUUCGUGACUUAGGUUCAAAUUUCUUAACAUGCAAAUGGAUUUUAUUUAAGAGUCGCCACUAAUCAGUUUAUGGUAAAUCGAUUACACACCUGAGUAAAAUAAUGGGAGAGUUACUUUACUCCUACAAACCAGAGACUAAGGGUACGGGGACUUGGUUACAUUAGAUUUCUCUAAUGUCCUUUCGGUACCAUUCUUUUUAUUUUCAAUUUUUUUUUGUAGGCAGCUAAUUUAUUUUAACCUAAAUUACUAUAAUGUAAAAAGUGACCACACUAAUGCUCAAACAUUCAAUAAACAUUGAAUAAAAAGAUAAAUAAAUAAAUUCAAUCACACAAAGCAAGCAAUCAUUUUUUCUUUUUUUGGUUUUCUUGAAAUUAGAAUUUUUUCAUAAAAACAUGCAUUUUAACUACAUGACCUAACCUAUAUGACAUGAAGAAAUGCAAUAAUUAAAUGCGAUCUAAAAAGAUAAAUAAAUAAAUUCAAUCACACAAAGCAAGCAAUCUUUUUUCUUUUUUUGGUUUUCUUGAAAUUAGAAUUUUUUCAUAAAAACAUGCAUUUUAACUACAUGACCUAACCUAUAUGACAUGAAGAAAUGCAAUAAUUAAAUGCGAUCUAAAUGACCUAAUUCUAAUGACAUACAAUGCAAUGCAAUGACAUACAAAAUUAUUUCAACUAAAAUGACAUGUAACAUGCAAUUUAAUAUGCGAGCUAUACGUCACGCGACAUUUAUUAAAUGACCUAGUGUAAUGAUGAGCAAUUCCUAAUAUAAUGAACUUAACAACAAUCAUUAAAUGACGUGCAUUUCAUGAACUUAAUUCUAUAUGACGUGCAUAUGAUUUUUUAUCCUAAAAAUGCAAUCUAUUCUAAAUAAUGAAGUGAAUUUAAAAUGAAACUUGCAAUUUUAUCCUAAGAUGCCAUGACAUACAAAGAAUGCCCUAAUUCUACAUGAUAUAUGCAUGAUGAUUCUUUUGUAUUUUUAUUUUUGUAAAAAUUCGAAAUUAAAAUUAAUACAUAAUUAAACAUGCAAUCCAAAUAACAAACUAACAACCUAAAUGAAUGCAUUUUUUUUUUUCAUAUUUUUCUAAAUUCGAAAUAAAAUCCUUAUUCUAGAUAUGCAAGAUAACAAAAACUAUUCCAAAACAAACUGAGUCCUAAUUCAAAUAUUUUUUUGGAUUUUUUUUUUAUAUUUUUAGUGUUUUUCCAAGAUAAUCAAUUAUAUCUAAGCAAUUCAGAUAUCCACCAAAUAAAGGAUUAAAAAUAACCUGUUGUCUCACAGGUCAAAUUAACAAUUACUUCAACCCUAAACAUCACGACAAAAAUUCAAAAUAAUUAAAAAUAUGAUCCGAAGUCUUAUGGAUCAAAUUAAUAACUAUAAUGAUUUAACAAUUAAAAUAUCAUCAAAUGCCCAAAAAUUAAUAUAAUUAAAAAAAAUGAUCCGACGUCUUACGGACCAAAUUAAUAAUUACAUAGUUUUAGGCAAAAACUUAAGAAUAAUGCCUAAACUAUACAAAUAAUUAAAAUUGACAUCCCAUGUUCUAACUUAAGCAAAAAAGACAGCACUUAAAAUAACUAGAUAAAUAAAUAAAAAUAAAAAGAUAAAAGGUAAACCACCUAAAAAGGAAAUUGAAAAAAAAAGGCAACGAUGGUGGACGGCGCCGGGCAGAGGAUGGCCGGCGUCAGAGCUCCGGCGAGGGCACAGCAGGUGCACAGUGAGGAGCUCCGGCGAGGAGACUCGGAAUGGAGGUGAUUGAGCGUCGCUCGGGCGUGAGAUCGCUGCUCGAGCUGCUAGGGGGCGACGAGGCUAUGCAAGCCGUCGGAUUUGAUGGCGUCGGCGAAGGUCCGCUGAGGUUGCGGGCUGCUGAUCGACGACGACAGGGACCUGGGCUCCGGAUCACGAGCGAAGCAACAGCUUCGCAGCUUAGACGGCGUCAGGCCGUGGAAGUGUGCUCGCGGAGGGUGGAGCGCCGGGGCUUCGGGUCGUCGAGGGAGGGGCGCUGACCGAGGUGGAGGCGCGAGACGAAUCGGCGACUGGCUCCGGCGUUGGGACUGGUCGCGACGGCAGGGAGCGGCUCAGCGUCAGGUCAUCACUGGAGAUGCGACGUUGGCAGUGGCUCGGUGGGCGGCCAGCUAACGUGGGGGAAGCGUCGAAGAAGAUGAUGAAUAGUGCUAGGACUUCUCCUUUUUUUUUUUUUUUUUUCUCUCUCCUGUUGCACGUCCCUUCCUCUCUGCCCCCUCACUUUUCUGCAAAAGCUUUUUGCUUUUGACCUUUUCUCUUCUUUUCUUUCGACAAAGAGAAACCUAGAAAAAGCCCCCCUAUCUCAACCUCUGUGCGCACCUUUUAUAGGCAAAGAUAAAUGUGAUAUUCGGAUGAUACUUCGUAUCUUUUUUAAUAUAGGCAAAGAUUAUUUAUAACCUCCCAAUCACAAAAUUCUUUUUAUUUUCCUUAUCUCCUUAAUAUUUCUAAUGAUCUUAUCACCUAAAGACUAAAAAUAAGAUUGCAACUCGAUUCCAAAAACCACCGUAAUAUCGCAUCAAAUCUCAAUUUCCCACGAGAUAAUUAAUUUUAAAAAACGCCGGGCUUGGGCUAAUUUAUUCCUUUCGCGGGCCUAAUCUGGCCUGCCAAGCUAGAGCUCAGAAAUAUUAAUUCAAACCCCUCCACCAGCAGUCCUAAAAAAAUAAAAUGCAAAUAUGCAGACUAAAAAAUAAAUGCAUCUAAAUUUAUAUGUUAUGCAAUUAAUAUUUUUUUCAGGGAUAAAAUUACCCAUAAUUUUCUAUGCAAUAAAUGACCGGCUCACCAAAAUUUAGAUGUCAGCACCAGCAAAAAGAAAAGUUAAAAGAUUGUGGUUUAAAGUUCAAUUUAUAUUCAAAAAAGAGAAAGAGAGAGGGAGGGAGGGAGGGCCAAUAAGAAUUCAUUAUAAAUAAUGGAGGGUUUAUGAAUAAAUAAAUCAAAUAUUACAAAGUCGUCAUACAAUCGUUAUAUGACCAUUAGAUAACCAUUAUAUAACCAUCAUAAAACUUUACAAAAUGAAUUUAUAUAAAUGGCAGACAAAAAUGAUUACAAAUUGAUGACAACAAAAAAUUGUUAUAAACCUAAUAAUUUUCCAUAUUUCAAAACUAUUGAAAUAUCAAAUAAAUAUUUUAAAAAGUUUUGAAAAGAAAAAGAUAUAAUAUUGCUGGGCUAUUGGAGUUUAAUUCAUUAGAACCAGUGCUUGUUCGGCUAUGAUUCAACCCUCGAAAGAAUGAAAUAUAAUUUACAAAAUCAUUGAUAAAGUUUGAAUUUUUUUAUGAAUUGCUUUUGUAAAUUAUAAGUUUUACCAAUCACGUGACACUUGCACAAAGUUUGUUGUUCAAUGUGGCUCUUCGCUAACAGGUCAUCGCAUGCUUGGUUUGUUCAUAAGUGCUAUAGAUAUUAUCGCCAAUAAAUCUCAUAGGAGCGGCCCCACACAUUCAUAUAGGUGAUUCCAUCAAGUGCAUUCUACAGUUUAAAACACCCCCAAUAAUGGUUAUGAAAUUCAUUAAGAGCUUAACUCAUCCUCUUUUUCCUAGCUAGGGAAACGAAAAUAGAAUAUAUGGCAAGUACGCUAUCCCACAUGCACAGCCCUUCCUUGACUUUUAUAAUAGGGACUAUCUAUUAGCCAUUAAAUUCUUUUUCAUUCUUUCACUCAUAUCAUAGAAAACUUUAGAGUAGUAGAAUUAUGAUGUGUAGGUUUCACAUUUGUGGCAAGUGCAAAGCAGAUAACAUAAUUAAUUGGAAUAUUUCUAGUAAAAAUCAUACCAGGCAAAAAAGAAGAGAAGAGAGAGUUUUUUAAAGAUUUAUGGCACACCACAUAAUAUUAUUUUGGAGAUGGUAUGUUUUUGUCUCUUAACAUUUACAAGCAUUCUCUUAUAUGGGGAAAUACUAAAGACAAUUUUAUGGACUCUUAGUGGCCGACAAUAGCAAACUCUUAUUUUACAUUUUUUUUCAUUUCUACUAUAACUCCAAAUAGUACAAAAUAGUACAUGCAUAGUGUUAAAUAGUGUCGAAAAGUACCUUUUGUUGACACCUAAAUUUUUCAUAAAAAAUGGUAAAUUUUUACCUCAAAAAAUAGAAUUAAAAUUACAUAACAUAUAACUUUACGAGCAUUUAUUUUAUUUUAUUCAAUUCUAUUCUAUUUUUGCAUUGGACUGACAAUGAGCAUUGAUUUUUUAUACGACAUGAGAUUUUUCACAUAUUCAGAUAUUAUAUACUGAGGGACAUAUUUUUGGACAAAAAUGAAGGUUUCAAAUGAAAUAGUUUUUUUAUUUUUUUUAUUUUCUUAAUUUUCAUUUUAUGUUAUUUCUUUAUUUUUUUAUUUUUCAAUUUUUGUUAUUAUUUAAAUUGAAACAUUGGAUAUCGAUGUUCAUUUUAUGAAAUUUUUUAAGGCAUUAUCCAUAGAGUUUAGCCCAAAGAUUAUUAUAAUUAUUAAUUUGAUCCGUAAGACAUUGGAUCAUUUUUUAAUUAUAUUGAAUUUUUGGGUAUUUUGAUAGUGUUUUGAUUAUUAAAUCAUUAUAAUUAUUAAUUUGAUCCGUAAGAUUUUGGAUUAAAUUUUUAAUUAUUUUGAACUUUCUUUUAUGGUAUGAUGUUUAGGAUUAAAAUAAUUGUUAAUUUAAUCUGUGAGACAACGGAUUAUUUUUUCAAUUAUUGUAAUCUUCAUUUGAUGAAUAUCUUGAGUUGUUUAGGUAGAAUGCUUAUCGGAUAAUUGCUUGUCUUAAAAAAUACUAAAAAAAAUCAAAAAUCAAAAAUCAAAUCUUGCAUUGAAAUAUAUUGGUUUCAUAAAUUAGGAUUGCAUUUUUUAGAUUGUGCAACUUCAUUAUCUAGCUUAAGUAGGACUGCACAUAGAUUAGAUUUGGAUUUAAAUAAAUUUUUAUAAAUAGGGUCUUAGAUAAUGUUUGCACAUUUUAAUAAUCUUUUUCCUAAAAAAAAAAAAUAGUUUUCUAAGAUAGAAUAGGGUUUAAAUCAAAUUUUUCUCUAAACUAGGUUAGAAAAUUAUUCAUUUUAGAUAGUUUAAUUAAGUAUUCUUUUUUAUUACGAAUUUUAAUUAAAAAUACAAAAAUAUUAGGUGCGUGUCAAUUAGUUUGCAUGUUAGGUUCAUUUAAUUAGAAAUAUUUUGUUAGUAAAAUUAGGUCAUGUAGUUUAAGUGCAUGUUUUAUAGUAGAAUUCUAACUUCAAGAUAAAAGAAAACCCAAAAAAAAAAAAUUAUUUGCUUUGUGUGUUUAAUUAUUUUGAUGCAAUUUAUUUGAUUUAUUGAGUGUUUAAUAAUGAUUGAGCACCUCUAUGAUCAAUCUAUUGCAUGAUAGUGAUUUAUGCUAAAACCAAUCUUGACUACCUACAAAGACAUUUUUGAAAAUAAAAUAAUGGUACCGAAAUGACAUUAGAGAAGUCUAGUGUAACCAAGUCUCCAAACCCAAAGUCUUUGGUUCGUAAGAGUAAAAUAAUUCUCCCAUUAUUGUACUUAGGCGUUUAAUCGACCUACCGUAAACUGAUUAGUGGCGCUUCUAGAUAAAAUCCAUUUUUAAAAAAAUACUUGAACCUAAGUCACGAAUUGGUAUGAGCUUGAGAGAGUCCGAGCUAAAUUUAAGACUCAGUAAUCUAUUAGUCUAAACCCUAAGUGGUGCAUCCGAAAUUUAGGUCGCGACACCUGUAGGCUCAAUUUUCUUUGUCUUCACGUUCUUGCUUCAAACUUCUUUUUCCUUUAGUCUUCUUCUCUUGGAGGCUCUUUCACAUUACUUCAAAAUACUUUAGAGAUUGUACUUAUAGAUUGGUUCGUCAUCGUUUGAGCUAUUAGAGUCAUCCCGAUGUAAGAUGGGCUUAAUUGGAAAAAUAUUAAAAUAUUUAGGAUUUAAUUGGCGAAAUUGAAAGUUUUAGGACUGAAUUGAUAAAAGAACAAUAAAUAUAUGACUUUUUGGAUAACUUUCUCAAAAUUUAGGUAUUAACAACCACAUGACACGUGCUUUGUUCACUUACAACCGACAAAAUUUAUGGAAUGACUCAAAUAUAUUGAUAUUGUCAGUUUUAGGACAUCAAUAUAUGAAAUAGAAGUUUUAGUACUCAAAUGUAGUGUCAUGAAAACUUUUAGGACUUGCCCCAGACAAAAUGCUUUGUAUGAUUGUAAUCAAGUGGUUUCAGCAACAUCUCCUUCAAUUGCUUACACUUGCCUUUUUAUCUUAGAGGGAACCCAUGCCUGAACCGGUCUGCAUCAUCAUUUGGACUCGUUAACCUAUAAUGUGAUCACAUUUUUUUAAAUAACGAUCUCUUAAGGGUCCAAUAAUUGGAUGAAACCGACAUAUUACUUAAAAAAUUUCCUCGCCAUUAUCGGAAAAUUCUUGAAUGUGGCCUCCGCUCAAUUAUCUGCAUAAAGAAAGUUAAAUGGCGAAUCCAAUGUGAGGUAACGACAAUUCGAGUUCUAAUUAGCUUAAUAGGCCGAGUUGACAGAACUCCUUCAAGAAAGCCGGUAGACAAGCCUUCAUGAGCAGAAUGAAAGAGGAGUAAAUGAUUUUUUUUUUUGGACGAGAACGGAGAAAUAGUAUUAACUGGCAAGAGGAUUACAGCAAUUUAAAGCAUCCGUACAUAAAAGAGAAAAAAGGAAGGGAGGAGGAGAUUCAGGCCAAUUGGGAGGGAGGAUGUGAAGCCCAUGGGCUCGGGCGGCCCAAUCAGCGACCGUAUUCUCUUCUCUUCGAUAGUGGCGCACCUCUAGGGUUUGGAAAAGACGAAGCAAAGCUGCCGCUUCCACGAACAGAGCACGAGAGUCCCAAGGAAAGCGAUUCUGAUCUUGAACCAAAUCAACCAGCUGAAGGCAAUCCAAUUCGAGGAUAAGGUGAGUUGUAGAUCGUCCUAUUUGUAGCAGAUACCGAAGCGCAGAUGUGAAAGCUUGGAGUUCUGUUUGUAGGGCAGAGGCGAUGUUGAUAGUAAGGGAGAAGCCGUCGAUCAACCUUCCUGUAGAGUCUUGACAAACACCCGCCACGGAGCCUUGAGAAGAACCCGGGUGAAAGGAACCUCGAUAUUAACUUUCAGUACACCCAAAUCAGGAGGAUGCCAUCCAAAAGGUACAGAGGGCAGAUGAGAAGGGCACCUCCGGGUCGAAGAAAGGGGCGGAUAAACAUAUCCGACAAUGGUUGUGAGAUCUAGUAGAGGCUGAGUUCGAUUUGAGCUCCAAUGAGGAUUGGACUGAUCAGGAUGCUUCUUUUGAUGCAGGGGCUUGGAGUGACAGGAUUUGUAAGAGCGAUCGUAGGCGAUGGCAUUGAAGACCACAAGAUCAGGAUUGGGGAGUCGUUGACGAAAGAUGUAAUCAUUCCUGGCCUUCCAAAUAUUCCACAAAAUAGCUGCUACAAUAGCCAAAUCAGGUAAUAAAUCCUUCCUAUACAUGAGUUGUUGAAGCCAAGCAUCAAAUCUGUUAGUCUCAAACUGUCGCAUGUUUAUGUGAAACUGUGAAUGAGACCACACUACUUUGGUCCACGGACAGUGAAAGAAAAGAUGUUAUGUUGAUUCAGGGAUAUGAUAACUACCGUAAUUUUGACAUAGGCGACAUGUUGGAUCUGAUAAAAUAUGCUGGUUAUACAGGUUUUCACCUAUUGCAAUAGCAUUAUGGAACAGAGACCAUAGGAAGAUUCGUAGUUUAGGGCUUGUCGGCACCUGCCAGAUAGUAUUCCAAAAAUGCCUAGGUAGCGUAAAAGAAGAAGAUGCAUGGUUAAGAUAUGAGUUGGAUUCUCCUGAUCGUAGACAAUUAUAGCCACUUUUGACAGUAUAGAUACCAUUCUGUCUCCUUGUCCAGAUUAAAGAAUCAAAUGUAAACUGAGGGCGUACCUGUAUUCGGAGGAUCUCGUUUAUAAUUUGAUCAGUGAAACUGUUUUUGAGCAAAGAGAUAUUCCAAGAUUGCUGUUCAUGGUUAAUAAAAUCAGCAACCAUAGUAGGUUCAUUAUGCGGUGGAGGUCCCCCAAUGAUACCCAUAGAUAGCCAUUUGUCCUCUCUAAUACGGAUAUGCUGGCCAUUACCUACUGACCACUGUAGAUGAUUAGACAUAGAAUCACGGCCAUGUAAAAUGCUUUGCCAACCCCAAGAGGACCUGGCUCCUCUUUCUGCAUGCCAUAAAUCUUUUGAAGGGAAAUAAAGCCCUUGAAAGAUCUGACUCCACAGUGAGUCAGGGUUUUGAAACAAACGCCAAGCUUGUUUUGCUAAUAAUGCCUUAUUGAAAGCUACUAGAUCUCGAAAACCAAGACCCCCUGCAUCUUUACGUCUCUUCAAUGAUUCCCAAUUUUUCCAAUGCAUUCCUGAUUUUUCACUCUGAGUUUGCCACCAGAACUUAGAAAUUUUCUGCUCAAUAGCUUUGCAAAGAGAAAUGGGAAUUUUAAAGAUAGACAUAGCGUAUUGAGGCACUGCUUGAACUACGGCUUUAAUCAACACUUCCUUGCCACCUUUCAAAAAUAGUUUUUCUUUCCAUCCAUCCAUUUUUGAAUUCACCUUAGCUAAUAACCAAGAAAACAUCUCUGUUUUGGACCUACCCCAGUCCGAAGGUAUGCCAAGAUAUUUCCCUGUCUUGUUGAUCACCGGAACACGCAAUUCGCUGGCCAGAUAUUCCUGAAGAGGUGCUGGACAGCCACGAAUAAAAUAUAUACCAGACUUAUUGUGAUUUAUUGCCUGUCCCGAUGCUUGACAGUAUUGAUUUAAAAUGUUUGACAGGUUUUGGUAUUCAAGCAGCUUUCCUUCAAUAAAGAAAAUGGUAUCAUCGGCGAAAAAUAAGUGUGAAAGAUUAGGACUGCUCCGGGUAAGUUGAAUACCUUUUAUGUUUCCCAUAGCAACAGCUUGAUGUAUGAGAGUUGAGAGAGCAUUUUCUACUAGAAUAAAUAAAUAGGGGGAAAGGGGAUCACCCUGUCAAAGACCCCUUGUCAUAGGAAAAGGCUGAAGAGGCUGACCAUUAAACUUAAUACAAAGAGAAGCAGUCGUGACACACUGCAUAACCCUGUAGAUCCAAUCUGCAUGAAAGCCAAUCUGUUUUAGAUAAUCCCGAAGAAAAUCCCACUCGACGCAAUCGCAUGCCUUUUGCAUAUCGAGUUUGAGGACCCCCUGGAAUUUUCUUUUUCUGUUUUGGAUUCUGACUUGAUGUAGAACUUCCUGCACUACUAGGAUGUUAUCCUGGAUUUGACGUCCACUAACAAAAGCACUUUGCUCUAUAGAUAUGAGUGCAAGUAGGAGAGGCUUUAAUCUGUUGGCUAAAAUCUUUGAAAUGAUUUUGUACUGAAAAUUACAAAGACUAAUCAGUCUGAAUUGGUCCAGCCUUUCAGGUUGCGAUAUCUUUGGGAUCAGAGUAAGGAAAGUUCUGUUGAUGACAUGAUCCAACUCACCAGAUUCAAAGAAAGCUUUCACCAAGGUAAUGACCUCUACCUUUAAGAUAUCCCAGUGAGCUUGAUAAAAUUGACCAUUUAAGCCAUCUGGGCUAGAUGCUCUGGAUGCCCCAAGCUGAAAAACCGCUUGCUGAAUUUCUUCAUGGGUAACUUCAGCUAUAAGUUUACUAUUAAUUUCCUCCGUGACAAUAGCAGGGCAUUGACUUAAAAAGGGGCCAUAGUUGCGUUGCCCAACAGAGGUAUAAAGAUUUUGGAAGAAAAGCUUAGUCAUUUCUUGUAAAGUUGUUUCAUUUUUGAUCCACUGAUUUUCUUGAUCUAACAACAGACUGAUUCUAUUUCAUUGACGUCUCUGGAUGGUGGUAGCAUGGAAGAAUUUUGAAUUUUUGUCCCCCCAUUUCAACCAUUGUACUCUAGAACGCAUGGCCCAAUAUUGUUCUUCUUCAGUCCAUAAAUUUCGAAUUUGAACUUUUAAAGCAUCCAUUCGAGGCUUGUCAGAAUGACUGUUUCUUUUGUUGGUCAGGAGUUGGAGCUGCUGUUGAAGCUCGGAGAUUCUGUGAUGGGCAUUAGAGAAUUUGGCUUUGCUCCAUCGGGAAAGAGCUGCUAAAAUAAGGCUUAAUUUCCAAGCUAAGGUAAUAUGUUGAGACCGAGAUUGAGUUAACGCAUCUGAAAUAACCAAACGACAUUCCGGGUCCUAUAGCCAAAAAGAUUCAAACGUGAAAAGCCUUGGGCGUCGAGGAUAGGCAGGAGAGGAGUGUAAAACCAGGGGGCUGUGAUCCGAACCGAUGGCCGGAAGAGCAAUCACCUCAGCAACUGGAAAGGUGAGACGCCAAGAGAUAUUGUAGAGAGCUCUGUCAAGACGCUCUUUAACUAAAUCAUCUCAUGUUCUAUUGUUACACUAGGUAUAGGAGUAGCCCUUACUGACUAGGUCCAAGAGGGAAGAGUCACUCACCAGAUCUCGAAAGGUAUUCAUCCGUUGAAAAUUUAAUGGUCGUUUACCUUGUUUCUCCCAAGGAUACAUUACCUCAUUAAAAUCUCCAAUGCAUAGCCAAGGUAAAGUAUUAUGAGUAUUAAUGAGCUUCAGUUUAUCCCAAAACAAGAGUCGAAGAGAGACGAGAGCCGGUGCCCGGAGACAAGUGAGCCGCAUAGAAAUUCCACACUCCCUAAUAAGGCAGAGAAGAUCAAAUAAGUCUGAGGACUGAUGCUCCAAAGUUAGGUGAACAAAAUCGUGCCAAAAAAUAGCUAGGACGCCAGCAAGGCCAGAAGGUUCUUCCAAAAAACUAUUUGGAAACUUAAGACGUUUUUGUAAACUGUUUAGCAUUUCUAUUCUUAGUUUCCAUCAAAAAAAGGAUGUCGGGCUUUUCUCGAGCCACCAACACCCAAAGGGCUUGAACUGUCAGGGGAUUACCCAACCCCUGACAAUUCCAACUUAUUAACCUCAUUUGUCCGAUGGUGGCUUUUUAGGGCCAACAACCAUAGCCCAAGUGUCAGAUUCAACAGCAUCAAAGAUUGGGGUAUCCAACAGGAGUGAUUCGUCAAGGCCCUCUCCCAGCAGGUUUGGACGCUUUAAUUUUUUAAUUGGCCCUGCCUUGAUGCUCAGCUUGUGACUCUUAGCUUUCUUUUGCUUGGAAGAGCUGAAAGAUCCUUCUCCCAUUACUGGGUAAGGAGGAGGUGCGAGGUAAGGGAGAAGUCCCACUGUAGGAGCCAACUGCCUCUUAGCCUGAGCUUGCACCUCGAAGAGUUCUAGCAAAAUAAGAGGAGGGCUGGCAUGGAUCGGCACAAUCUCUUUGCCUUUGUUGCUGUGUGAUGGGACUGAAGGUAAGUCAGUUGAGGGAUUGACCUAUGUCUCAGGAACAGAUUCCUCAACUUCAGGAGAGGGGCUGGGAGAGGCAUAAAAGGCGAGCCAGAAAGGGCUAAAUUCCCGAACCUCAGCCCUGAGCCACUGACCGAAAUAUAAAUUGUCUCUGUUAUCAAACUUUUGCUCAUCAUACUCAUAAUCUUUGCAGGUUGAGGCAUAAUGGCCAAGCUUACCACAGGAAUAACAAAAGUUACACAUGCACUCAUAACGAAAGUCUAACCAGAUGUUUUUGCCAUCAACUCUAAGAAAUUGGCUUGGCUGAAGAGGAUCUUGAAGAUUAAGUUCAAUUCGGGCCCUGCCAGCAUGAAGAGAGGUUCCCGCUCCACUGUCUAUUUUUAUUUCUAGAAAUUUGCCAACCCUUCGAACAACUCAAAUCAUUUCCUUCGUGCAGCGCUCCAAAGGGAGACCGACAAUUUGGACCCAAAAAGCACAUGACGAAAAGUCAUAACAGUGCAACGGCGUGUUAUACAACCAAGGACGUAGAAUGACCAAAAUACCUCCAAACCGCCAAGGACCAAUGGUAAGAAUUCGAUUUUUCUCUGUUUCAUUUUUUAAUUUGAAUACAAAUAAACCCCCAUCAUGUGGCGUAAUAUCAACGUGAUCCAUCCUCCAAGCAUUCUUCAUGGUAGACUGAAAAGCUGUGAAAUUAACAGUUGUAUUUGACAGGAGCUUACCCACAAGUAUGAGCUAAAACUCUGCUAAAGCUUCAGGUGAAGGUGCAUCCUCCCAAACUUCGAUAUGCUGUUCAGACCAAAGACGACCCAUGCGUUUGCUUAGAGCGGCCAUGCGAGCAUCCUCGUACAAGGUAGUACACGAGGUAUCGGGGCUCCCAGGCAUACUGUUGGGAGCUGAAGAAGCCAUAAGAAGAACCGAGAAAACAACACACACCUAUAUUCCGUAGGCAGGGGAUGGCGAGGGAGCUUCAGAUGAUUACAAAACUCAACAUGCAGACUAGGAACUAGUACAUGCAGAACGCCGAUGGAACCAAGACACAGAGAACGCGAAACAUCGGGGUCACUAUCGGAGGCGAAAGCGAAGAAAAAAAGAGGAAGAGGAACUAGGAAUAAACUCCACUUAUCGGAAACUGCACUUAGGGUAUGAGGAAAGAAAAAACUACCAUUACGGUAGGCAAGAGCUCGAUAAAGGAGAGCAUUUUACAUGUUAAAAAGUUGGAACACCGAGAUUAAAGCUUGAAGAAGAACAUAAACCCAAUUAGGGUUCGGACGAAGGAUGAACUACCACGGGGGUAGAGGGAAACUCGACAAAAUGAGAGAAAAAUUCUUGCACAAACAUCGACCGUGAGGUUUAGGAGUAAAUGAUUUCAAAAGGGUUGUCUUUAUUUUGUUUUGUUACCUCCACUGAACGUUUGAGAGUGAAAUACCUUUAUUGAUCGGUCAUUAAGAAGUCUCAAUAGGUAGGGGUGUCAACAGUUCGGUUCAGUUCGGUUUUUUAAAAAAAACCGAAUCGAACUGAACCGUUAGAAAAAAUUUCCGAACCAAACCAAAUGAGUCAUGAACCGAAACCGAACCGAACUAUCUAAAAAUUUCGGUUCGGUUCGGUUUUUCGGUUUUUGGUUUUCGGUUUUUUUUCGUUUUUCGGUUUCGUUUUUCUGUUCGGUUUUUUUUAGACGGACCUCUUCUUUCUUCUCUUGGGGGUUUCUUUCUCCUCAGGCUUCUUCUCUUCUGGAGCAGGUGGCUUUGGAAUAGGGGAGAGAAGCUCCACUAUUCACAAAUCCACCCAGACCAAAAAGGAAUCAGUGCUCCAAAUCCACAAAGCAAAGCAAAGGCAGAGCUUUGAAAGCGAAGAAGAAGACCUCUCCCAUUUGGGUUGUUCUGUUUAACCGUUCAGAAGAAAAGACUUGAAGAAGAAGAAGGGUACGAAGACACUUGGGGUUAGGGUGUAGAUAAGAUUUGAGGUGCUCUCUCUCCGGGUGUUGCUGCAGUGGCUACUAGAAAUUGCUCGGGACCAUUAGAUCUCGCUCGCAACUCCCACCACCAUCACCAGCACCACAAACACCACCAACAUCAGCAUUCAAACUCAAGAGCCAAGCUUGGCAACUGAGCUCUCUCCACCUCCUGCGAGCCCCGAUCCACCAUGGAAUCUCGACCCACUCGAAGCGAAUUGAUCGAUCGAUGGAUGAUGCAAGAGCUGAGGUCAAAUAGAAUCGAAUCAAUGUUCUCUCGGAGGAGAUGGGAGAGAAUAACCAAACCAUUUGGUUAAUGGUUUAUUUUAUCGGUUUUCGGUUCGGUUCGAUUCGGUUAAUCGAUAAAAACCGAACCGACAACAAAAAUUUCAAUUUUUAAUGAACUAAACCGAAAACCAAACCGAACCGAAAAAACUGAAUUUUUCGAUUCAGUUCAAUUCGGUUCGAUUUUCAGUUCGGUUCCUGACACCCCUACCAAUAGGAAGUAAAAAGCAGUAACAAGUGAAUGAUCUGGACUCACCCAACACUUGCUCUCACCUCUGUGGGUCUAGGACGUGUGUGUGGCCUAUCGCUUUUACCUUUGUGAAAGCUUUAACUAGCUCUUGCUCUUAUGUGUCUACUAAAAGGCAGCUAUGAUGGUAUGGAUAAGGGUGGUGAAGCCCUUGCAAGAAGCAAGAGUUGAUGGCUGGCAAGCCAACAAAGAAAAGAAAAGAAAAAAAUAAAUUGAAAAAAAGUAAAACAUCAUUAAAAAUUAUUUACGUUAGUGCUGACUAUAUCAUAUAAUAUGACAGGUGUCCAUGUCAAUAAUAUUUAGAAAAAUUAGUCGGAUGAACUUAAUUGACAAAACAUGAAUAGAUUCAAGACUCAAUUAGCAAAAUUAAAAUAUUUAGGAUUUAAUUUGGCAUUAGGUUUAGAACCUUUUGGACAAUUUUCCCGGUCUCUAGUCCUACUUUUCUCUAAAAAAAAAGAGACAACUACUUUUUCGUGCUUUUCAUGUAUGGAUGUCAAAAAUAUUUAAUUCCAUUUGAUUAAUGGCAUAUCAUCGAAAAUUGCAUGACAUUAUAUAUUUACAUGAUUUAUUGUAGCCCAAAGUGAAAUAUACCAAUUAAAUAUCCUAAUGCAAACUACUUAUUAUGAAUAGCCCCAUCAUCUCGAAAAAAAAUUAGCGAGUGCUUCGACUAUGCUGGUUUCCUCUUACAUGUGAGCAUGUGAGGGCAGAGAAGGCACGCUCUUGCUGAAUGAAAUUAUUUUCUUCGCCGCCUAAAAGAGUUACGUUGCAAGCUUUACUUGACGAUGAAGAUAAGUACACCAUUAGUGUCAUAAGUUAUGUACAGUGCUCGCUUUGGUGCCAAAAAAUUCUGUCGGAUCACUUAAAUGCCAAAAAGUUUGAAAAUCGAUCAUUUAAGUGCCAACUCUGAUCUAGUUGGCCGAAAAUCUGACAUCACACUUUUUUAUUAAUUUUUGAAGCUGAUGUGGCUCGCUGAAGAGUACAGUCAGCAAUGAAACAACAAAACGAUGCCGUUUGGUUUGUCUCCCCAUUACAAAACCAUAAAUCUUCGGCCAGUUGCCAUCCUUGACGGCCCCUGUGCUUGGCAGCCGUGGCUCCGACCCCGACCCCGACCCCGACAACGGCCACUCGGCGGCCAAGUCGAAGGCCAUGAUCUGGCCGAUGCUCGGGGAGGCCGCCAACGAGUGCGCCACCCUCGAUCUCUCCCUCUCAAUCUCUGAUCUCCCCAACGAGUGCCUAGCCUGUGUCUUCCAGUACCUAGGCUACAACAACCCAAGCCAGUGCUCCCUCAUGUGCCGCCACUGGCUCGCGAUCGAAGGCUAGAGUUGCCAAAGGCUCGCCCUCCACACCCACUUGGAGCUGCUGGACACGGUCUCGGCUCGAAGAAUUUGAAGACGUUGAAGCUGGUGAAAUGUUACCGAGAUUAGGACACGGUGCUACUAUGACAAAGGCUGAGCGAUGGUGGCCGAGUAACGGCGGCCGGCGUUGGGCGAGGAUCGAACAAAAAAUCCCUAAUUUCAAUCCCCAAAAAAUAAAAAAAUAAAAAAAAUAAAAACCCAAAUGAGUUGUGCGACGUUAUUUUCUCAAGGCCAUCCACUUAGGACGGCAAAACAACGCAGUUUUCUUAAGGAGGACGAAAAAUGAUGUCAUUUAAAGGCCUUGUCGAUUUUUUUUUCAAAGCCACAUAAUCAUUUUGGCCGGAAUCUCUCGCCAGUGGCAUCAAAGUGAUCGUUUUUCCUCCAAUUUGGCACUUAAGUGAUCUGACAGAAACUUUUGGCACCAAAGUGAGCGCCAUACACAACUUAUGGCACUGAUAGUGCACUUCUCCCCUUAACGAUGUAAUGGCAGCGAUCAUGCAGCAUCCUAAGCUAACUUUCUUCUAUCAUACUAAGUUCACCUACCGAAUUUGACCAGACAGAUUCAGGAUAUAUAUAUAUAUAUAUAUAUAUAUAUAUAUAUAUAUAGAGAGAGAGAGAGAGAGAGAGAGAGAGAGAGAGAGAGAGCGGGGAUAUUGAGGGGAAGGAUAUGGAAUAUAUCUGACAUCCUUAUACCCAAUAAUACGAAAUGAAAAUUGCAGGAAAAGCACCAAAAAAGUUCACAACCUAUUACAUCGGUACCAAUUAAGUCUUGAACUUUUCAAUUUCAUCAAUUAAGUUCUAAACAUUUUCACAUUGGUACUAAUUGAAUCCAUCCAAGCAACUUAUGGUAGAAAUUAUUGACAUGGAUGCCGGUCAUCCUACGUGACACGACCACACUGAUGUGAACAUUUUUAUAUAAUAUUUAAUUUUUUAAUUGUUUGAAUUUUUCAUUUGCUUUUUCUUUUUUUCCCUUUUUUUCUUUUAGCUUCUUUAUUUUCCUCCUCCAGCCUUUGUGAUGGUUGGUGGAGGUCACGGGCAACAAGCAAGACCAGCCUUAGGGUUAUGUAGGGUUGGCAAGCAUUGGUAAGCCCUCAUUGGUCUCUAGCAAGGGCUAGCCUUGCCUGAACAAGGCCUCUGUGACACCCCGAACCCUUUGUAGGUCGUCACCAGCGCCGGUGUUACAUGUUUUACCAUCUCUUCUCUUGGCUAAAUUAAGCCUUGCCAGAUUUCAGGCAUUUUUUUUUUUUUUAAAGCGGUCCCAUGCGCGACUCAUAGCGGAAGCAAAUUAAACAUCUCCAUCUCUCCCCUUACUAACCAUGAUACCAAUACACACCAACUAAACAUCAGGAUUUAAAAGAUAAGCCAUGCCACUAUUAUUUACAUAAUAUCGAUGGGUUUUUCACGGGUCGAUACAACAAAAAGGAGACCAAGAUUUUCAGCCACACUCGGCCUCAUCCCAAAAAGAUACUACGACCCCUAAAGAAAAUCACAUGUCAUUUCCCCCAUCCAACAGUGGCGGCUACUCCCAAAAAGACGACACCAGCUCUCUACCCUUCACACAACCAUCACACCCAUCCAGGUGCAUCGGGUGGUGGUGGCGGCAACAUCCCCCUAAACACUCCGUCUCGGCGGACAUGAACAGACAAAAACUCCUGGAUGACUGGGCCCCCAGCCAGGCCCACGUCGUACAUGACCAGCACACGCACUCGCAUAAAUGUCAGUCCAGGGAUAGUGACGCAGUCGAUCUCCGUACAAUCUACUUCUACAUCUGACGGAAUACCAUAGAAGGUGCCUCGCGUGACGGUGGGAAGCGGCAUCUUUCUAAUCUGAAAUGUUAUCCCCAAAAGGGGUGAGUAUAACCACUCAGCAGAUAGGGAACUCCAAUAACAUUCCAAUGCAUCAUACAUAUCAUCACACGUUGCAAGCAUCACUUACCUUGUAACCAUGCAUAUCAUGCAUCAUCACAUUAGCCAUGCAUCACCAUGCAUAUCACAUCAUAUCAUCAUUAGCCAUGCAUCACCAUGCAUAUCAUAUCAUCGUUAGCCAUGCAUCACCAUGCAUAUCACAUCAUCAUCAUUAGCCAUGCAUCACCAUGCAUAUCACAUCAUAUCAUCAUUAGCCAUGCAUCACCAUGCAUAUCAUAUCAUCAUUAGCCAUGCAUCACCAUGCAUAUCACAUCAUAUCAUCAUUAGCCAUGCAUCACCAUGCAUAUCAUAUCAUCAUUAGCCAUGCAUCACCAUGCAUAUCACAUCAUCAUCAUUAGCCAUGCAUCACCAUGCAUAUCAUAUCAUCAUUAGCCAUGCAUCACCAUGUAUCACAUCAUAUCAUCAUUAGCCAUGCAUCACCAUGCAUAUCAUAUCAUCAUUAGCCAUGCAUCACCAUGCAUAUCAUAUCAUCGUUAGCCAUGCAUCACCAUGCAUAUCAUAUCAUCAUUAGCCACGCAUCACCAUGCAUAUCACAUCAUAGAUCAAUUUCCACUUUUACUUAUCAAUUGAUCCCCACAUUAUCUUUUCUCAAAUCAUCAAAUUCACCAUCAUCACCAUCCCUUCGGGCAGAAACCUCCGACAGGGAUCCCAGCAUUCCAGCCAUCUCAUGGCCACUGGGCUUCCGGCCCCCCACAUUCCGGGCAUCUCGCAUCUCAACUAGCAUCACGAGGCAUUCCCUUCGGGCAGAAACCUCCGAUAGGGCUUCCGGCCUUUACCCUUCUAACCGGGGAUCUCGCACCCUAAUCCUGGCAUCGCGAGUCACUCCCUUCAGGCAGAAACCUCCGACAGGGCUUCCGGCCCCCCACAUUCCGGGCAUCCUGAAACUCCCAAGGAAUCUCUGGAAUUACGCCACCAGGCCACCAGACAACAUCCUCCGCCACAACCUCUUACUCACAUACCACUUUCCAUUUUUUUAUCAUCCUUUUCAUCUUAUUAUUUCAUGGCAUAUGAAUCACACACACGCAUCAUGAUUCAUAAUCAUACAUGCAUCAAUGCCAUAUAACAAUGCAUCAUAUUCAUGUGCAUACAUACACCCAUGUCAUAUAACAAUGCAUUAUAACUCAAUAAAACUCUUGGCCAAUAAAAUAAUCCACUUUUUAUUUUAUUAUUAUUUUAUUAUUAUAUUUAUUUAUUUUCAUAAAUAUUUUAUUUAAUAUUUAUGAUUUUCCAAAAAUCAUAAUAUUCAAACAAUCAUUAAACAAACAAUUAAAAUCACAAUUUCACACAAAUUCAUGGCCAAAUUUGCAUUUCACAUAAUUUCCCAAUAUUUCCACAAAAUACACACAAUAUUCGGAUAAUGGCCAGAUUACACAGUUUUCAAAUUAAUUCAAUUAAAAUACUCAUAUGACCUCCGAAAAUUCCCAAAUUUUACAGGGUAAUAGAAAACACAUUUUCGUGCACUUUUUAUGAAGAACCCUAAGCCAAAUUCUUUUUAUAUUAAUUUAUACAACUCCCUGAAGCUUCUGGAACCUCUACCGUUUCGUCCAGAACGUACAUCACCGAAAAACUUAGGUUUGACCCAUCAAAUCUCUUUCGUUUCUUCUGAAAUUCGAGUAUGUUAUGUAUCAAUGUGUGCUUUACAAGUUUCAUGAAGAGAUAUAGGCUAAAUAACCAAAGUAUGAUCUUCUUUUAAGUCCUUGAAGUCUCGGGUGUCUCGGUAUACUUCAACAGAACCAAACGUCUCAAAGAUCUAGCCGAUUAACUAGGCUAUACUUGUUCAUUUAUCUUCAAAUUUGCGUAUUUUGUAGUUUAGGAUGUUACCUACAACUUCCAUGAAGACAACAAAGUGAGAUCUCCAACAAAAAUCAACAUGCAACCAAGAAAUCAUCAAGAGGUCAGUAGGAAAUUCGCAGAUCUGAAGUCUCCGUAUAACAGAGCUUUUGACCCCUCAUAUCACCUUCGUUUUCCAUUAAAUUCGAGUAUGUCAUACUACAAGAUGUUAGCUUCAACUUUCAUGAAGACACCGAAGCCAAAAUCACACUCCAAAUACACAUGCAAGCUCGAAUAAGAAACUGUCUACCACAAACCGAACGGAAACAGCCACAUUACAUGAACACAUGAAACCCUUGCUUGGUAUUUCGCCCCAAAACACCCCUAAAACCGAACAUGCAACCAUCAAAACAACGUGCAAGAGAAGUUAUGGACCCCCACUUGCCUCCAAGAUGAACACACAGCAACACACGGCGGUGUACGGUGGUCGGACUAGGCGGCGACGGCGAGACACGGCGGCGGCAACUCUCGGCUCCACCUCCUCUCUCUCGGGCUCUCUCUUCCGCUCAAGCUCUCUCUCUCGCACACCUCUCUCUUUGGACGGAAAUGAAGCAAGUAACCGGCCAUUUCUCUCUCCUAAUCCCUUUUUAUACUCCCCCUAGGCUCAUCAUAGGUAAUGAUUGAUCCACCACACCUAUGGCCAAUGCAUGUUCUUCCUUUGGCCACUUGUAAUUCUUGUUUUUAAAUUUGAAUUUCAAUGGGCUUGGGCUUAGGCCCAACCGGCCACUCCUUCUUGGGCUGGUCGAACUCCCCUCUUGGGCCCAAUGGGCCGACUAGCUUGGCCCACCAAGCUCUAGGCUAAUGGGUCCAAGGCCCAUUUCGAAAAUAACCCUAUUUUCUCUUCUUCUUUUUUUUUGAAUUCUUUUUUAUAAAUAUUUCUAAAUUCAAAUUUCAUCUUGGCCAAAGUCUUGGGAUAUUUCAAUUAUUGAAAUUUAAAUCAUAUGGCCAAGCAUUAACUAAUUAAAUUUAAAUUUCCACAAUACAAGCAAAAUUCAUCAAAUUAAAAGACAAUUUGGCUAAAGCAUAGGCCAUAAAAUUCUAUCACCUAAUUAAAGACAUUUAACACACCUUAAGGCUUGGCUUUGAAUUUCCGGGAUGCCACAGCCUCUCACCAAUGCUAGAGGCUAGUGAGGGCUGGCAAGGGCCAGCCUCGCCCGCAUGAAGCUCCUCGCUAUUGGGCGAGGCCACCCUUAUCAUAAGGUCCGCCUGCCAAAUCUAGCAAGAGGCCUUGUCCAAGUGUGGUUAGCAAUGGCUUCUUAGCCCUCGUUGGCCUCUAGCAAAGGCAUCCCAACUCUCGCCCUUGUCGGCAAUUGGCAACCUCGAUCGACCAUUAUGGAGGUUGGUAGAGGAAAAUAAAGAAGUAACGAAAAAAAAAGAAAAAAAAAGGAAAAAUUUUAAAAAUCAAUCAUUAAUUAACUAUUAAAUAAAAUACAGAUGUGCCACAUAAAAUGGCCGAUAUCCAUGUUAGUAAUUUCUGGCAUAAAUUGAUCAGAUGGAUUAAAUUAAUAUCAAUGUGAAAAUGUUUAGGACUAGAUUGAUCCAAUUGAAAAGUUUAUAAUUAAAUUAAUACCAAUAUAAUGCAUUUAGAAUUUUUUUGAGAUUUUUCCCUGGGAAUUGCAAAUGGGGAUAUAAGGACAAAUUCUGGCGAUAGUUAUAAAACAUUAUAAAAUUAACAAUUGCAUUUAAAAAUAGUAUAAGUAGUACUCAACAAAUCAUAUGAUUUCAAACUAUUUGACUUUGAUUUUACAUCUUCCUCAACUACAGCCACUUGAAUUCCUUUGUCCGAGUAAUUGUCCCUUUUGAAACAGGGGGUAUGUACGGACUCAAGAAAUGGCAUACCUAUGCAUUUGACGUGUAUCCACGCACCAACGGUUUUUAGACUUCACCAACAACUAUGGACAGAUCUUCGACAAAUUGCCAACUCCAACUCUUCACUAUGGGUUUGUGCUAGUGAUUUCAAUGAAAUAACCUAUCAUUGGGAGAAAGUGGGAAAAAGGUUAGCCGACUUUAAUCGAAUGCAUUCAUUUAAAAAAGUAUUACAUGACUGUUCAUUAAUCGACAUUGAGAGUAAGAGCUAUGCAUUUACUUGGAUGAAUAACCAAGAUGGAGAUGAUAUUGUGAAAGAGAGGUUGGAUAGGGUGCUAUGAAAUUUGGAUUAGCGACUUACCUUCUUGGAUGCUGAGGUAUUUGCUUUACCUGCGGUGGGUUUUGAUCAUAGCCCUUUACUGUUCAACACUGAAGCAAAACCCAGCAGAAGACAUAGGCCCUUUUUGUUUGAAGCGUUUUGGUUACAAGAUCCGAAAUGUAGGGAGGUCAUCGCUAACGCCUGGAAUUCAGUAAUGAUCUUUGUUUCUGACUUGCCAUAUAAAUUGAAGAUUGUAAGUUCAGCCCUUGCACAUUGGAGUCAUGUAAAGUUCUCUAAGGCAAAACAUCAAAUUUCAGCUUUGCAACACCAACUACAACAUAUCACCAAUCAAACACAUGGACACCAUGAUAAAACAACAACAACAACUAAACUUAAGGCAGAGCUCCAAAAACUUUGGUAGCAAAAGGCACAGUAUUGGGCAAUAUGAUCUAGGAUUAACUGGCUAAGGUGGGGCGAUAAAAACACCAAAUUCUUCCAUGCAACUACCAUUUAGAGAAGACAAAGGAAUAACAUAAGAAUGCUGAUGAAUGCCAACCAGAGAUGGGUGCGAGAUGAUAAAACUUUGAAGGAGAUGACAUUGGAUUUCUUUUCGAACCUUUAUAGAUCAAUGGGUCAUCGUGACUAUGGUCCCAUUCUUGCUCAAUGCCCGAGUAUUGUUACAACAGCAAUGAAUACUAUCUUAAUAGCUGUGGUCACUCGAGAGGAGGUCCGCAUAGCAACUUUCCAGCUGGGAACGACUAAAGCCCCGAGCCCAAAUGGCUUGAAUGGUCUUUUUUACCAAACCCACUGGGAUAUAUUACAGGAUGAGAUCUUCAUUUCGGUACAGAAUUUCUAUAAAACAGGAGUGAUGUCCACAGCUCUUAAUAGAACUAUUAUUUCUUUGAUACCAAAAACACCUCAUCCGGAGAGUUUGGAUCAAUACCGUCCCAUUAGUCUUUGCAAUUACACCUACAAAAUUAUCUCCAAGGUACUUGCCAAUCGUCCAAAGCCCUUGCUUCCUGACCUGAUCUCUAAGGAACAAACUGCCUUUGUGAGUGGGCGCCAAAAUCCAGGACAACAUCCUAAUAGUACAGGAGGUGCUUCGCCAGAUAAAGAUUAGGAAACGGAGACGUAAUUUUCCAACAAUCUUAAAAAUGGACAUGCAAAAGGCAUAUGAUAGAGUGGAAUGGGAUUUCCUAGAAGAUUAUAUCCUCAGGUUAGGUUUCCAUCCUACUUGGGUACAGUGGGUGUUGCAGUGUAUUUCAACAAUCUCUAUUAGCAUAAAAUUCAACGGAGAGCAAUUGGAGUAUUUCCACCUGACACAAGGCCUUCAACAGGGCAACCCUCUUUCCCCUUAUUUGUACAUCCUAUUGGCAAAUGUCUUAUCAACUCUCAUCCAUCAAGCCAUUAACAUGGGGAAUCUUAAGGGUAUCCAGCUAAACAGGUGUUGUCCUAAUCUUUCCUAUUUGUUUUUCGUCGAUGAUGCAAUAUUUUUCUUAGAUAGCCCAAUCAAGGAAUGUCAAAAUCUCACCAACAUACUAAAUCUAUACUGCUUAGCUACGGGACAAGCUGUUAACCGGAAUAAGUCAGGUAUUUUCUUCAGUAAGGACUAUCCUAGUAGUCUACAAGAAAACCUGGCUAGGGAAGUUAGAAUCUCUGUGCUCGACAGAACGGGUAAAUACCUAGGAAUUCCUUUAGAUUGGUGACGUUCCAAAAGAGACAUGUUCGCCUGGCUUUUGGGUAGGGUGAAUAACAAACUCGAAGGCUAGAAAGAAAAUCUUAUUUCGAAAGUGGUAAGGAAAUUCUGAUUAAGACUGUAGUGCAGGCGAUCCCAUUAUAUGCCAUGUCCAUCUUCAAAAUUCCCGUGUCACUUUGCAAUUCUAUUGAAAAGAAGAUUGCUCAUUUCUGGUGGCAGAAUGAUUGUUGUAAGUCAGGGAUUCAUUGGAAACAAUGGGAAAUCCUAAAAAGUAGAAAGGAAAAGGGAGGUCUAGAUUUUCGAGAUCUCAUUACUUUUAAUAAAGCAAUGCUUGGCAAAUAGGCCUGGUACUUAAUCCAACAGCAUUUCUCACUAUGAAGUAAACUAUUUAAGGGUCUUUAUUUCCCCUCAAAGGAUUUCUGAUUUGCAGACAAAGGUGCCCGACCCUCGUGGGGUUAGCAAAGCCUACUGUCAGGAAGGGAUUCGAUAUUACCAAACCUUCAGUGGUCAGUUGGCGAUGGGACAUAUAUCAUAAUUCGCGAAGAUCGUUGGCUACCCAAAGGAAUACUCGGUGGACCAGCAGCUAGAGAAGAACCUGUGAUAGUGGCUGACUUACUUGAUAAGGACUCUAACAACUGGAAUGUUUCUCUUUUGCAUCGCUAUUAUGAUACUCAAACAACACAAGACAUACUCAGAAUUUUGGUCAGAUCUAAUUUUGCAACAAUAGACUUAUUUGGACAGCCACAAAACAGGGUCACUAUAUAGUAAAAAACAGAUAUCAUGCAAUCAGAAAUGCAGAACCAAGAACUAUCAACAAUUAAGCCUCAUGGUCCUUUCAAACACCACAAAUCCUUUGGAAAAAAAUUUGGAAGCUUAAACUUGCACCCAAAAUUUGGAUUUUUCUUUGGUCCAUUUGCCAUAAUGCAUUGCCCACCAAAGACAAUCUUUUUCAUCGACACAUUAGCACAGAGCCGGUCUGGACACUAUGCCCUAAUCAUACACUAGAGACGAUUGAACACCUUCUUCUAUUAUGUCUAUGGACACACAGAAUCUGGUCUCACCCUCACAUUAGCAUUUAGAUUGCACCAAUAGAAGUACAUCGUAUUGACGAGUGGAUUGCAGAUCGAAUUGAAUAGCAGAAGACCUCACCUGAUCUGGAGACUAUUGCGGCUGCUUUCUAGCAAAUUUGGAAGGCACGAGACAAGUCCAUUUUCUAUCAUCAACACCCUAAUCUGACCUUUGUAGUGGAUGUAGCUCUCACACAAGUUAAAAUCGCUCAAAACUCCACCUAUCUCUCGGCAGGACCAGGAUGUAAUCAUUCCGACCAUGGCAAUUUUUGGCGGCCCCCUAAUCCAGGUGUCCUGAAAAUAAACAUAGAUGGGGCUUUUCACACAGAUAGUACUGAAGGAUCUAUGGCAUAUAUCUGCUAAGACCACUUAGGGAAAAUGUUGGAAGGAUUUACCAUAAUUGUUACCACUUCUUCAGCCUUGCAGGCUGAGAUCCAGGUGCUCAUUGUCACAAUGCACCAUCUACUGCAGCAAGGCAAAUAUGCUAUUCUACUCCAAGUUGAAUCGGAUUGUCUUCCGUUGGUCGAAACCAUUAACGAUCAGCAAGAGCCACCAUGGGAGGUCCGAGCCUUGUUCGUUGAAGUUGCCGCACUCCUCCCUUGCUUCUCACAUCUUCAUAUUAGGUUUUGCAUAUGGGAAGCUAAUUUUGCUGCAGAUUGGGCUGCUAAGGUCCAUAGAAAUGGCUCAUUACAUCCUAAUUGGGCCACCUCUCCCCCCCCCCUCCUUUCUUGGAUUUGCUUUACUCAAACGCUUUAGUAGCGGGUUGUAAUGUUCAUUUCCAUUGAAUGUUAUUUCCUUUUCGUCCAAAAAAAAAAAAAAACCUUUUCUUUCUCCACGACGGCUGUUUUUCGUUUUCAAUAAUUUCAAAGGCUGGAAAAUCACAGUAAGGACAAGGACAGUUGAAAAGAGUAGCACGCAUGUCCUCUCCACGAUACAUUGCAUGAUGGCUUGGGCCAAAAGGGGACGGUUUGAUGCCCGAAAUGUAUACGAGUAGGCGAAGAUGUAACUUGGCCAAGAAGACAUGGAGUAGAUACUUGGGCUACCCUUUUUUUUUCCAAAGAAUCGUGAAAAAGGUCACUUCGUUAUAUUUCAAUUUGCUUUUCUCCCGUUGCAAUGAUGAAAUUUUAGAAGGUAGCGCAAAGGUCAAAGAAAAGAUGUCUAUCUUGUGGAGUAAAUAUCUGGGUAAGUUGGCAUUUACAUUUGUUUUCCAAGAAUACCCUUCUGUGUAGUUUUCUUUUGCUUCAAUUAAUACGACCUAAUAUCGAAACUAUGGGGAUCAGCAACAAAAGUAUCAUAUCUUCAACUAAGAAAAUUAUCAAGAGUGAGCUUAAGUCUAAGCCAAUCAAUAUAUCUAAUUAGAUAUAUCUUUACUCAAAAAAUUAUUAAAAAGUUUAAGUUAAUAAGUUAUGAGCAAACUAGAAUAUAUAUUAAUUGUUCUACUCCAUAUCAAUUUUUCAAUGUUGGACUUUUAUAACACAAUUCACAUGUGUAUUGCUAUUCCUUACAUGUGAGCUUAGUUUUACGUCUCCUUCCCAUUUGUUCAAGUAUCUUGAUGUCUUAACCACAUCUGUAAAGAUCCAUAAUCAUUUAUUAAGAUGCACAAUAAAAGUCCAAUAUCUUUAGCUGGGAAACUUCAAAGAAAGAACUCAAGUCUUAAUCCAGCAACUUAUUUACUUAGACAUCUUUACUCAAAAGUUUAUGUUAAUGACUUAUAAGUUAUGAACCAAUUAUGAUAUAUAUUAAUAGUUCUACACUCACGUACAUCUCAGCAAAAAAAAAUUGAUCUGACUAAUUUAUCUUCCUUGAAAAAUAUAAAUCUCUUUGUCUACAUGCAGUGGCUAUGGCAAGCGUGACCCUUAAAAAUACGCUAGGUGAAAGAUACUGAAAUUUGAACAAUAAAUCUAUCACACUCCCAAAAUAAACGUUAACGUGUUAAAUUUCAGUUGCUGCGCUCUCUUUUUAGAGUAAUACCUUUGUGAACUUUCAACGUUGAAAUGGAAAUUCGCGAGAACAGUCAAAACACGUCUCAAUUGCCAUCGGAGUCCAGCAAGAAAAGCAGGUUGGACAAUUUUCCACAGUAUGAUCGAUCAAGGAUGGUUCUGCAUUUAUAUUAAUUUUCAUCAGAAUUUUUAUUGGCAUCAAUGUCAAUUCGCCCUUCUUCUCCUAAGCACCAAUCACCAUUUAAAUACAAUCACAGAAGACACUAACAAAGCAAACCAGUGGUCUUGCUGUGGGGAGCCGAAAGCAUGAAACACUACCAUUUCGUACUCGUACAUGGCGCCGGCCAUGGUGCGUGGAGCUGGUACAAGCUCAAGCAUCGGCUUCAGUCGGCGGGCCACCACGUCACAGCACUCGACCUCGCUGCCUCUGGCACCAACACAAAGUCCAUACACGAUGUCCACACG